RNAcentral lists this long non-coding RNA (82284 nucleotides) under Triticum aestivum (bread wheat). RNAcentral's name for it is "long non-coding RNA (TAES_LNC019400)". Lineage: Eukaryota; Viridiplantae; Streptophyta; Magnoliopsida; Poales; Poaceae. The record is from RNAcentral.
UUUUUUUUUUCUGUUUUCAAGAGAUGAUGUCAUGGCGGGUUACAAAAACUUCUGCGAGGAUAAGAAGAUGGAUUUUUCUAAGUGUUGAAGAUUGACAAGGAACAAAGUUCAAAGUCAACCUGGGGCCUAAUGUUGGGGAUAUAACUAUCAGUUAUGACCCGCCCAGGAGGGGCCGGGUCAGCCCCAAUGGCGGGUUACAAAGGAAGCCCAGUAAACAUUAAGAUGAUAGUUUAUCAAAUCUUAUAGAAGGCCUAAAAGGCCUAGAGGCGGCUUCAGGCCCAGUAUUGUAAACCGCCGUAUAUAAGGGAAGACUUGUAAAGAAAGGCAUGAAAAAGAAGUCACCGAGCCGGACACGAUUUCUGAGUCGGCCGGGACUCUGUAGGCUACGAAGUGUCAACCCGUGUAUAUAAGGGGACGACCCGGUGGCGGCUUAGGGCAAGAAAUAAGAGAUCGAUAACCAAGCCAGCGAGUUAAGCCUCUUGGUGAUCGAAACCCCAGCAAUACCAAACACAACUAGACGUAGGCUUUUACCUUCAUUGUAAGGGGCCGAACUAGUAUAAAACCUCUCGUGUCCUUUGUCCCAAUCAACCCCUUUAAGCUUCCUAGUUGUGAUGGCCCUACGACUAAGUCCUUCCACUAGGACAUCUGCCGUGACAAUUCCACGACAGAUUUAGUUGAUUCUUUUUGCAAAUUGAAGCUCUUGACUUAAACUUUCUGAUAAGGCCGAAUUCAUAUAAUUUUGGUACUGUUAGAAAUUGUUUUAUGUUUCAAGAGUUAUUUGUUGGUUUUGAUGUUUUCCAAACUGUCUUCUUUGUUCUUCCCGAUCUUUUGAGUGAUUUCUUAUGUGUGGUUACUAUUGCUUGCUCACGAUAGAUUGAACGGAGGGUGAGGAGAACUAUCAAGAGUUAUGAGUGCGAAUCAUCUUCAUCAACAGUACAAGGCAAGUUCACACUUUGAUCAUAUCCCUUUCAUAGCCAGCUUUUAUGCAUUAGUUUCACCCUCAAACAUUGCAUGAGUAGGAUUGAUAACAUGUGGGUAUUGGGAAGUAGUUGAUGAGGUAGAACCUAUUGUCCUUUAUAGAAAACCCUUGGGAGUUACUUCUACGUUAUGCUUAUAUUGCCAUGCUAUGCUCGUAGACGUGGAUUGGGUUUGAGUGUAUCCAUGACAGAUGUCAGAUUGUUAAUUAAUGGUUCAACUUAAGGUGGUUACUUUAAUACACAUCUGGGUGGAUUGGUUGGGGCACCAUGGAGUACCAAGUGGUUUGCCCGGGCACCUGGAGAACCCAGUGCUUGCCCAAGGGGAUCCCGGAGGACCCGUGUGAUAACCCUAUGGAAUGCCACCCAGGCUCAAAGGGAUCAUAAGAUUAUUCAUGCUAGAAACUUCUGUGUGCAGCCACAAGCUAUUAUGGGCUCUAGCAUAGUUGAGUAAGUUGUGUGAAGCUCUUGAAGAUAUAGACUAGCAGAUGUAGUGGGUUGUAGGUGGUAUAGUCUAUCUGGAGUGAGAGUUAAUGCUUCUGAAAGACUGUGUCUCGGUCAUCCGUUUCUCAAACACCAUGUAGUGCGAGAAAUCCAACGGAGCAGAUCGAGUCUUGUGGGGAAAAGUGUGCAAACCUCUGCAGAGUGUACAAACUAAUCAUGGUUAGCCGUGUCCCCGGUUAUGGACAUCUUGAGUCUCUGGUACUUGGAUUAUCAUAUUGAUCUCAUCACAUUACUUCAAUAAUUUGUUGGGUUAUUGAUGUUAAUUUGGGAUUGAGUUGGAGGAACCUUCUCAAUAUUUUCUACCAACUUUGUAGUUAAAUAAAUUAUAUUCCUUUGCAGUAGGGAAAAAAUGGCUUUUCGCAAAAACAUUAUAACCAUAGAGAUUUUCCACCAACCAUAUAUGCAUGUAGUGAUAGCUAUUAUUCAUCAUUAUCCAAUGGUGUGAAUUUGCUAGUACAUUCAAUGUACCGACCCUUUGUGGCUGCAAUGUCUCAUGUUGCAGGAUUCUUACGACGAGUAAGUGAUAUGUUAGGGUUACGAUUUCUACACUCAACUUUGCCAUUGGUGUUGAUGGGAAUCCACAACCUUGUUAUUACUUCCGCUAUUUGGAUUGAGGUAAUAGUAUUUACGUUAUUUUAUACAUGUGAUUUACCUCUGUUAUAAAUCCUGAAGUAAUGUGUGUGUCAGCAUAUCGAUCCAGGGAUGACACUUAAGCACAGAGACUUGACCGUCUGAGGUCGGGUCGCUACAAGAUGGUAUCAGAGCACAUGUUGACUGUAGGACGUGACCCCUAGAAACUGGCAAACCCAUAGGAAAGAUUUUCUCUAUAACUUUCUUUUCAAAAAAGAUCUUUUACCUCUCCUCUCUUCUGAGCUUAUUCAAAUAUUCCCUUUAGUGAGACCAUACCCCUUUCCCCUUUUGACCACACGAAGAUUCGACUGAUGAGAUCACUCCAAGAAGUACAAGAUAUUGGACAACUGAGACCAUUCAGAAUGAAGAGGAUUUUACCAUACAUUAUAAUAAUGGAAACUACAAUGGUUGAAGACUCCAAAGACUAGGAGAAUUUGACGGCCGUGUAGAAUUUCUAGAUUUGUAUGACCUAGGAAGGCACCCCUUAUGGAACUUGGCAGACUAUGGAAGCUGUCAAUACCCAAGAUCAAGGUGUAUUGGAGAAAGACCGGAACAUGGAGAGUUAAAAACUCAAAGUUUUGUCAAAAAACCGAAGGCAAGAGAUAUAAAUUAUGGAAUGAAAGCUCAUGGAAAUGACAAGAGCAUAAACACGGUUAUCCAUGAUGUUAUUGCCCGCUUAUACUAUUGUCACCGGGCUGAGUUAAGCAUACAUUUCUUCGGAAGGAUUGGAUGGUAGAAGGGUGAUGGAGCACCUAUCAGCAAAUGAUGAAGUUUUAACCUUAGCCGGUGUAUCACCAGGAUCUGGAGUAGUACAUCAAGAAUUCUAAGAUGGAGCUCCAGGAAGCCGUAUUUGACAAGGAAGCAUUUUGUGAAGAACUUAGGACCCAGAAGAUGAAAGUAGCCAAGCCGGAUAAGCAAAACCUCGAGAUACCGGAGAUUCGUCAUGAACUUAAGGACAGUAGGACCAUGGUUCAUGCGAAGGAUGUUGAAACCAGAAGUUUGGAACGCAACUCCAGAAUAUUAAAGGACGUCACGAGAGACUUCGCGUCAACAGGAAUGUGAUAACCCACAAGUAUAGGGGAUCGCAACAGCUUUUGAGGGUAGAGUAUUCAACCCAAAUUUAUUGAUUCGACACAAGGGGAGCCAAAGACUAUUCUCAAGUAUUAGCAGCUGAGUUGUCAAUUCAACCACACCUGGAAACUUAGUAUCUGCAGCAAAGUGUUUAGUAGCAAAGUAAUAUGAUAGUGGUGGUAGCGGCAACAAAAGUAAAGACAGCAAAAGUAAUGUUUUUGGUAUUUUGUAGUGAUUGUAACAGUAGCAGCGGAAAAGUAAAUAAGCGAGAACCAGUAUAUGGAAAACUCGUAGGCACCGGAUCAGUGAUGGAUAAUUAUGCCGGAUGCGGUUCAUCAUGUAACAGUCAUAACAUAGGGUGACACAGAACUAGCUCCAAUUCAUCAAUGUAAUGUAGGCAUGUAUUCCGUAUAUAGUCAUAUGUGCUUAUGGAAAAGAACUUGCAUGACAUCUUUUGUCCUACCCUCCCGUGGCAGCGGGGUCCUAUUGGAAACUAAGGGAUAUUAAGGCCUCCUUUUAAUAGAGAACCGGAACAAAGCAUUAACACAUAGUGAAUACAUGAACUCCUCAAACUAUGGUCAUCACCGGGAGUGGCCCCGAUUAUUGUCACUUCGGGGUUGCCGGAUCAUAACACAUAGUAGGUGACUAUAGACUUGGAAGAUAGGAUCUAGAACUCACAUAUAUUCAUGAAAACAAAAUAGGUUCAGAUCGGAAAUCAUGGCACUCGGGCCCUAGUGACAAGCAUUAAGCAUAGCAAAGUCAUAACAACAUCAAUCUCAGAACAUAACGGAUACUAGGGAUCAAACCCUAACAAAACUAACUCGAUUACAUGAUAAAUCUCAUCCAACCCAUCACCGUCCAACAAGCCUACGAUGGAAUUACUCACGCACGGCGGUGAGCAUCAUGAAAUUGGUGAUGGAGGAUGGUUGAUGAUGACGACGGCGACGAAGCCCCCUCUCCGGAGCCCCGAACGGACUCCAGAUCAGCCCUCCCGAGAGGUUUUAGGGCUUGGCGGUGGCUCCGUAUCGUAAAACGUGAUGAUUUCUUCUCUCCGAUUUUUUCUCUCCAAAAGCAAAUAUAUAGAGUUGGAGUUGGCGUCGGAGGGUCUCUAGGGGGCCCAUGAGGUAGGGGGCGCGUCCUAGGGGGGGCGCGCCCCCCACCCUCAUGAGAAGGGUGUGGGCCCCCUGGUCUUCAUAUUUGGCGAGGAUUUUUUAUUAUUUUUUCUAAGACCUCCCGUGGAGUUUCAGGUCAUUCCGAGAAUAUUUGUUUUCUGCACAUAAAACAACACCAUGGUAAUUCUGCUGAAAACAGCGUCAGUCCGGGUUAGUUCCAUUCAAAUCAUACAAGUUAGAGUCCAAAACAAGGGCAAAAGUGUUUGGAAAAGUAGAUACGACGGAGACGUAUCAACUCCCCCAAGCUUAAACCCUUGCUUGUCCUCAAGCAAUUCAGUUGACAGACUGAAAGAAAGAAAGAAAGAAAAACUUUUACAAACUCUGUUUGCUCUUGUUAUUGUAACUAUGUCAAGCCAGCAUUCAAGUUUUCAGCAUAGAUCAUAACUAACCACAUUUGCAAUAAUUCUCAGGUCUCCUCAUUACUCAUUUCAAUAGCAUAAUCAACUAGCAAGUCAUAAUAAUAAAUCUCGGAUGACAACACUUUCUCAAAACAAUCAUAAUAUGAUAUAACAAGAUGGUAUCUCGCUAGCCCUUUCUGAGACCGUAAAACAUAAAUGCAGAGCACCUUUAAAGAUCAAAGACUGACUAGACAUUGUAAUUCAUGGUAAAAGAGAUCCAAUCAUAGUCACACCCAAUAUAAAUUAACAGUGAUGAAUGUAAAUGACGGUUGUGCUCUCCAGCUAGUGCUUUUUAAUAAAAGGGUGAUGACUCAACAUAAAAGUAAAAUGGAUAGGCCCUUCACAGAGGGAAGCAGGGAUUUGUAGAGGUGCCAGAGCCCGGGUUUGAAAUAGAGAUAAAUUGUAUUUUGAGCGGUAUACUUUCAUUGUCAACGUAACAACUAAGAGAUGGCGAUAUCUUCCAUGCUAAACACAUUAUAGGCGGUUCCCAAACAGAAUGGUAAAGUUUAUACUCCCCCUCCACCAACAAGCAUCAAUCCAUGGCUUGCUCGAAACAACGAGUGCCUCCAACAUACAUCAGGUCUCAGGGGGAGUUUUGUUUGCAAUUAAUUUUGAUUUAGUUUGCAUAAAGCAUGGGAAUGGGCAUCCCGGUGACCAGCCAUUUUCUCGUGAGUGAGGAGCGGAGUCCACUCCUCUUGAGAAUAACCCGCCUAACACAGAAGAUAAGGACAGCCUUUGUUGAUACAUGAGCUAUUCGAGCAUACCAAAUAGAAUGUUUAUUUGAAGGUUUAGAGUUUGGCACAUACAAAUUUACUUGGAACGGCAGGUAGAUACCGCAUAUAGGAAGGUAUAGUGGACUCAUCUGGAAUAACUUUUGGGUUUAAGGGAUUGGAUGCACAAGCAGUAUUCCCGCUUAGUACAGGUGAAGGCUAGCAAAAUACUGGGAAGCGACCAACUAGAGAGCGACAACAGCCAUGUACAUGCAUUAAAAUUAAUAAACAUUGGGUGCAAGCAUGAGUAGGAUAUAAUCCACCAUGAACAUAAAUAUCGUGAAGGCUAUGUUGAUUUUGUUUCAACUACAUGCGUGAACAUGUGCCAAGUUAAGUCACUUAAAUCAUUCAAAAGAGGAUACCACCCCAUCAUACCACAUCAUAAUCAUCUCAAUAGCAUGUUGGCAUACAAGGUAAAUCAUUAUAACUCAUAGCUAAUCAAGCAUGGCACAAGCAACUAUGAUCUCUAAUUGUCAUUGCAAACAUGUUUAUUCAUAAUAAGCUGAAUCAAGAACACGGGACUCGUCAUAUUUACAAAAACAAAAGAGUUCGAGUUCAUACCAGCUUUUCUCAUCUCAGUCAGUCCAUCAUAUAUCAUCAUAAUUGCCUUUCACUUGCAUGACCGAACGGUGUGAAUAAUAAUAAGAGUGCACGUGCAUUGGACUAAGGUGGAAUCUGCGAGCAUUCAAUAAACAGGAGAAGACAAGGCAAUAUGGGCUCUAUGGUUAAUUCAACAAUAAUGCAUAUAAGAGCCACUUCAACAAUUUAAUUAUAGUCUUCUCCUACUGACCCCCAUAGAAAAGAAAAGAAAUAAAACUAUUUACACGGGAAAGCUCCCAACAAGCAGAAGAAGAACGGGAAAUAUUUUUGGGUUUUCUUUUUAGUUAUUACUACUACAGCAGAAAAAAUAAACUACUACUAAUUUUUUUGGUUUUUUCUUUAGGUUUAACAAACACACAAGAAGAAAGCAGGAAAAGGAAAAUAAACUAGCAUGGAUAUUACAGUGAAAAAGUAUGAGCACCGACAUCUAGCAAUGAGUGUGUGUGAACAUAAAUGUAAUGUCGGUGAGAAAUACGUACUCCCCCAAGCUUAGGCUUUUGGCCUAAGUUGGUUUAUGGCCACGGCUGGCCUGGCAGAUAUCCAUAAUAAUAAUUGUUGGGGUCGUACUGUGAUGGGGAAGAAUAGUUGGGAUCAUACUUUGAUGAAGAAGAAGACUCUGACUGCCACUGGUUGACAGUCAUCUCUGGAUCCCAAGAAUAAACAGAUUGUCGUGGAGGCUCAUCUUGUGGCUCCUGUUCCGGGGCUGGUGCUGGAUUCUUGUAAGCUUGGAUGGCAGCCCACGUAACGAGGUAGGGUCCUACAAAAUUAAACAAAGAAGGAGCAGGCAACGUAAUAGUUUCAGGAUGAUGUUUGUUAAAGAACAAUUGAUAUUUAAGCUCUCCUGCCCUAUUCUUAACAAUAAAAUCGUGUGCCACCAUACUUUUAUGAUCUAGAUAAACACGGGGCAGCACCUUUUCUUCCUUCUCAGCAUGCCUAAUAGGUAUGUUAAAAUGUGCAGCUAGGCGUGUAGCAUAGAUGCCUCCAAAGAUGGGACCCUUAGUACGGUUCAUACUUAACCGUCUAGCAAUAAUACUGCCCAUACUAAAAGUGUUAUCACUGUAUAAACCAUGGUGCAGAAUAAUUAUAUCAGGGAUACUAAGGUUUCCACUGUUUCCGCGUCCAAUUAAACAACGACUAGCAAAUAAUGCAAAGUAGAAAAUGUAUGCUAGUGAUUCGUGCAUCGGAAACCUUUCUAGUUUCUCCUACAGUGAUAGUAUCAAUAAACCCAGCCACAUCAUCAUGAUGUGGUUCUUCUGUCUUGCCCUCAAAAGGGAUUAAACAAAUCCGACAGAAAUCAUAAACUGACAUCUCCUUAUGCUCAUCAUAUAAAUGAAACUCCACCGUAGGUGGUGGGUUCCUAGAAUGAAAAUGAAGGUUUUGCACAAAAGUAUUUGUGAGUAAGAGAUACUGAUCGCAUUGGUCGUGGAGGAAAGCGGUGAGGCCUGCAUUGUGAGCCAAUUCAUGAAAAUCUUCAUAGAUAUCGGCUGCUCUCAAGAAAUCUUCAGAAGGUCAUUCACACGCCUGAAUCUCCGCGGUGCGCGGCAAAUUAUAAUUAGGCUUCGGUGCCUUUUCCUUCGAGCUUUGGCUCGACGAGCCCCUCAAAAAUCUCCUCAUUAUUUUUCUGAAACAAUCUGAAAUUUUUAGUAACUUCAAAAGAAAAGUAAACCAAACUCAAUAAUAUUGAUAGCAACUACUCCUACAAGUGCCUAGAGCCUAAAUCAAGCAUUAGAACUACUUGGAACCAUAUAAAUUUGACAUGCAAGCUCAAGAACAUGGUCACCUAUGCAUCACAAAUUUGCAAAGAAUAAAGCACUAGAACAAAAACUAAUUGGACCAAUGGAGGAGUCACAUACCAAGGAACAAUCUCCCCAAGCAGUUUUGCGAGAGGUGCUUUGAGCAAGGAGAUCGAAAAUCACAGCAAAAUUGGCUGGAACUCAUGCUUGAGUUGGUUUUUUGGGUUUGUGUGAGAUAGAGGAAGAAGAUGGGUGCUGGGAUAAGUGGAGGAGGGCCACCGUGGGCUCACGAGGCAGGGGGCGCGCCCUAUAGGGGGGGCGCGCCCACCACCCUCGUGACCAGGUGGCAGCUCCUCCCACGGUAAUUUUUGCACAGUAAAUUCUCAAAUAUUCCCGAAAAAAUCAUAUUAAAUUGGCAUGGCAUUCCGAGGACUUUUAUUUUUGGGUUUUUUUAUAUUGCACGGAUAAUCACAAAAUAGACAGAAAAAUACUAUUUUUACUUUAUUUAAUAUAAAUAACAGAAAGUAAAAGUGGGAUACAGAAGUUUGUGCUUCUAGUUUCAUCCAUCUCAUGCUCAUAAAAAAGAAUCCACUAACAAGGUUGAUCAAGUCUUGUUAACAAACUCAUUCCGAUAAUCAUGAAAUCGGAGAAAUUUCGAAUAGCACUAAGUUACCUCGACAGGGAUAUGCACAUCCCCAAUAAUAAGUAUAUCAUAUUUCUUCUUGACAGUAGGGAGAGGAAAUUCAAAACCUUCAAAUAUAAUCGAUGGAAUUUUUCCAAUAGAAUUGAUACUAUGAACUUGAGGUUGUUUCCUCGGAAAGUGUACCGUAUGCUCAUUACCGUUAACAUGAAAAGUAACAUUGCCUUUGUUGCAAUCAAUAACAGCCCCUGCAGUAUUAAGAAAAGGUCUUCCAAGAAUAAUAGACAUACUAUCAUCCUCGGGAAUAUCAAGUAUAACAAAGUCCGUUAAAAUAGUAACGUUUGCAACCACAACAGGCACAUCCUCACAAAUACCGACAGGUAUAGCAGUUGAUUUAUCAGCCAUUUGCAAAGAUAUUUCGGUGGGUGUCAACUUAUUCAAGUCAAGUCUACGAUAUAAAGAUAGAGGCAUAACACUAACACCGGCUCCAAGAUCACAUAAAGCAGUUUUAAUAUAAUUUCUUUUGAUGAAGCAAGGUAUAGUAGGUACUCCAGGGUCUCCAAGUUUCUUUGGUAUUCCACCCUUAAAAGUGUAAUUAGCAAGCAUGGUGGAAAUCUCAGCUUUCGAUAUCUUUCUUUUAUUAGUAAUGAUAUCUUUCAUAUAUUUAGCAUAAGGAUUUGUGUUGAGCACAUCAGUUAAUCUCAUACGCAAAAAGAUAGGCCUAAUCAUUUCAGCAAAGCGCUCAAAAUCCUCAUCAUCCUUUUUCUUGGAUGGUUUCGGAGGAAAAGGCAUGGGUUUCUGAACCCAAGGUUCCCUUUCUUUACCAUGUUUCCUAGCAAUAAAGUCUCUUUUAUCAUAAUGUUGAUUCUUCGAUUGUGGGUUAUCAAGAUCGACAGCAGGUUCAAUUUCUACAUCAUUAUUGUUACUAGGUUGAGCAUCAUCAUGAACAUCAUCAUUAAUAUUUUUACUAGGUUCAUGUUCAUUAACAGAUUGUGUUUCAGCAUCAGACAUUGAUAUAUCAUUUGGAUUAUCAAGUGGUUCAACAAUAGGUUCACUAGAAGUUUGCACAGUUCUAUCAUUUUUCUUCUUCUUCUUUUUAGAAGAACUAGGGACAUCAAUAUUAUUUCUCUGAGAAUCUUGCUCGAUUCUCUUAGGGUGGCCUUCAGGAUACAAAGGUUCCUGAGUCAUUCUAACAGUUCUAGUAGCCACUCUAACAGCAUAAUCAUUUUUCUUACUAUUCAUUUCAUCAAGCACUUCUUUUUGAGCUUUAAGUACUUGUUCUACUUGAGUGGUAACCAUAGAAGCAUGUUUGCUAAUAAGUUUAAGUUCACCUUUAAUAUCAGCCAUAUAAUCACCCAAGCAUCUAAUCAUAUAAGAAUUUUCUUUUAAUUGUCUACCAAAAUAAGCAUUGAAGUCGUCUUGCUUAAACAUGAAGUUAUCAAACUCAUCCAAGCACUGACUAGCAAUUUUAGUAAGAGGGACUUCAACUUUAUCAUAUCUAUAGAGAGAAUUUACCUUUACUACCUGUGUCGGGAUAUCGGGAUCAGGAGGUUCUUCAGUAAAUAAAUAAUUGAGAUCAUAUGUUUCUUCAACAGGCGGUAUAUUAAGACCAUGUAUUUCUUCAAUAGGAGGUAAAUUCUUAACAUCUUCGGCUUUAAUACCUUUUUCUUUCAUAGAUUUCUUUGCCUCUUGCAUAUCUUCGGGACUGAGAAAUAGAAUACCUCUCUUCUUCGGAGUUCGUUUAAGAAUAGGCUCAGUAAUUGGAGCAGGAGUUGGCUCAGGAGGUGCCCAAUUAUUUUCAUUUGUCAACAUAUUAUUCAAUAGAAUUUCAGCUUCAUCCGGUGUUCUUUCCCUGAAAAGAGAACCAACACAACUAUCCAGGUAAUCUCUGGAAGCAUCGGUUAGUCCAUUAUAAAAGAUAUCAAGUAUUUCGGGUUUCUUAAGAGGAUGAUCAGGCAAAGCAUUAAGUAACUUGAGAAGCCUCCCCCAAGCUUGUGGGAGACUCUUUUCUUUAAUUUGCACAAAGUUGUAUAUUUCCCUCAAAGCAGCUUGUUUCUUAUGAGCAGGGAAAUAUUUAGCAGAGAAGUAAUAAAUCAUAUCCUGGGGACUACGUACACAACCAGGAUCAAGAGAAUUAAACCAUAUCUUAGCAUCACCCUUUAAUGAGAAAGGAAAUAUUUUGAGUAAAUAGAGGUAACGUGCUCUCUCAUUAUUAGUGAACAGGGUAGCUAUAUCAUUUAACUUAGUAAGAUGUGCCACAACAGUUUCAGAUUCAUACCCAUAAAAUGGAUUAGAUUCAACCAAAGUAAUUAUAUCAGGAUCAACAGAGAAUUCAUAAUCCUUAUCAGGAACACAUAUAGGUGAAGGAGCAAAAGUAGGGUUGGGUUCCAUUUUAUCUCUAAGUGAUUCUUUGUUCCAUUUAAUUAAUAACCUCUUAAGCUCAUAUCUAUCUCUGCAAGCUAAAAUAGCUAAAGAAGCAUCCCUAUCAAAAAGAUAACCUUUAGGAAUAACAUGCAUGUUUUCAUCAUCACUAUCAUCAUUGUAUUCAGAUUCAAUAAUUUCUCUUUCUCUAGCCCUAGCAAUUUGUUCAUCAAGAAAUUCACUAAGGGGCACAGUAGUAUCAGGCAUAGAAGCAGUUUCAUCAUAAGUAUCAUGCAUAGCAGAAGUGGCAUCAUCAAUAACAUGCGACAUAUUAGAACGAAUAGCAGAAGCAAGUGUAGGUGUCGCAAACUUACUCAUAAUAGAAGGUGAAUCAAGCGCAGAGCUAGAUGGCAGUUCCUUACCUCCCCUCGUAGUUGAGGGAUAGAUCUUUGUUUUUGGAUCUCUCAAGUUCUUCAUAGUGUCCAGCAGAUAUAAAUCCCAAGUGACUCAAAGAAUAGAGCUAUGCUCCCCGGCAACGGCGCCAGAAAUUGGUCUUGAUAACCCACAAGUAUAGGGGAUCGCAACAACUUUCGAGGGUAGAGUAUUCAACCCAAAUUUAUUGAUUCGACACAAGGGGAGCCAAAGACUAUUCUCAAGUAUUAGCAGCUGAGUUGUCAAUUCAACCACACCUGGAAACUUAGUAUCUGCAGCAAAGUGUUUAGUAGCAAAGUAAUAUGAUAGUGGUGGUAGCGGCAACAAAAGUAAAGACAGCAAAAGUAAUGUUUUUGCUAUUUUGUAGUGAUUGUAACAGUAGCAGCGGAAAAGUAAAUAAGCGAGAACCAGUAUAUGGAAAACUCGUAGGCACCGGAUCAGUGAUGGAUAAUUAUGCCGGAUGCGGUUCAUCAUGUAACAGUCAUAACAUAGGGUGACACAGAACUAGCUCCAAUUCAUCAAUGUAAUGUAGGCAUGUAUUCUGUAUAUAGUCAUAUGUGCUUAUGGAAAAGAACUUGCAUGACAUCUUUUGUCCUACCCUCCCGUGGCAGCGGGGUCCUAUUGGAAACUAAGGGAUAUUAAGGCCUCCUUUUAAUAGAGAACCGGAACAAAGCAUUAACACAUAGUGAAUACAUGAACUCCUCAAACUAUGGUCAUCACCGGGAGUGGCCCCGAUUAUUGUCACUUCGGGGUUGCCGGAUCAUAACACAUAGUAGGUGACUAUAGACUUGGAAGAUAGGAUCUAGAAAUCACAUAUAUUCAUGAAAACAAAAUAGGUUCAGAUUGGAAAUCAUGGCACUCGGGCCCUAGUGACAAGCAUUAAGCAUAGCAAAGUCAUAGCAACAUCAAUCUCAGAACAUAACGGAUACUAGGGAUCAAACCCUAACAAAACUAACUCGAUUACAUGAUAAAUCUCAUCCAACCCAUCACCGUCCAACAAGCCUACGAUGGAAUUACUCACGCACGGCGGUGAGCAUCAUGAAAUUGGUGAUGGAGGAUGGUUGAUGAUGACGACGGCGACGAAUCCCCCUCUCCGGAGCCCCGAACGGACUCCAGAUCAGCCCACCCGAGAGGUUUUAGGGCUUGGCGGCAGCUUCGUAUCGUAAAACGCGAUGAUUUCUUCUCUCCGAUUUUUUUCUCGCCAAAAGCAAAUAUAUAUAGUUGGAGUUGGCGUCAGAGGGUCUCUAGGGGGCCCACAAGGUAGGGGCGCCCUAGGGGGCGCCCCCCACCCUCGUGAGAAGGGUGUGGGCCCCCUGGUCUUCAUAUUUGGCGAGGAUUUUUUAUUAUUUUUUCUAAGACCUCCCAUGGAGUUUCAGGUCAUUCCGAGAAUAUUUGUUUUCUGCACAUAAAACAACACCAUGGUAAUUCUACUGAAAACAGCGUCAGUCCGGGUUAGUUCCAUUCAAAUCAUACAAAUUAGAGUCCAAAACAAGGGCAAAAGUGUUUGGAAAAGUAGAUACAAUGGAGACGUAUCAGAAUGAUCUGGCAAAAGAACUUGAGAAGGACAAGCACGAUUGAAAUAAGCCAUCGGAGACAUGAACAAGACUCGUAGAGCUUGAUGACAUUGAAGAUUUAUUGACCUUUAGAGGACCCAACCCCUGUUAUAUACCUACAUUAGAUGCGACAUUUGUGAGCUGUCAUUUGUUUGAUGUUUUUCCGACAACCACAGAUAAAAUAUGUCUUUUCAAAACCAUUGUUUGUAUUGUGUGCAUCCUUCUCCCUCUCUCUCAUCUCACCCCAAAAACCAUGGACCCAAUAGAGGAUGAAUGGAGAUGAACUCAUAUUUUCUGGACCGAUGAUUCAAUUGGAGACAGACCGAUGGAUUUAGAACAUGGAAGAUCAUAUGAAGAAUAACACUAUAGCCGGAAAGGAUAUGGCCCAGCAUGCUCUUCAGUGCUUUGAAAGAGGUGCUACUACUUGGUCGAGGAUGUACCAAACCAUGAAUGGAUGGCAAGGUGUAACCACUUGGAAAGAAUUUAAGUUAACUCUGCAAAGAUCUCAUCUUGUGUCCUAGAAGUUGAAGCCUUAUGGAAAGGAUAUGAAGAAACCUUGUGGAUGCAAGAUUUGUGGAGAAAUAGGACACACCCAUAAAGAACACAAGGAUGAAUGCCCUAAUUGUGAAGGAAGUCACCAAGUUGAAGAAUGCCCAACUAGGCAGAUUACGUGUUUCUUGUGUGAAGGGACUACCCACUAUCCUGCUCAGUGUCACAUUUACCCCAUGGUACGAAGAACCGUACAGCAGAAGAAAGAAGUAAAGAAAGGAGCCCUUAUGGAAAUUUUAGAAGAACCCGUGAUGAAGGAAGAUGUCGGGGACACACCCAAAGAAGAACCAAUUAAACCCUGCACCAAGUCAUGCUAUUCAUGUGGAGAAGAAGGACACAUCUCCCAGAAUUGUAUGAAUGGGGAUCUAGUAGAAUUCCCGACGGAGGAAGUUGUAACACCCCGGAUGUAAUUUACCUUAUCUGUACUCCAACUCUUGCCGUUUCCGGCCAAAGUUAUUUUAUUUCCUCUGUUUCGGGUUUUUGUCUCCGUGUGUUGUGGCCUUUGUCAUGCAUCUCUUAUCAUGUCAUCAUGUGCAUUGUAUUUGCAUACAUGUUCGUCUCAUGCAUCCGAGCAUUUUCCCCGUUGUCCGUUUUGCAUUCCGGCGCUCCUAUCUCCUCCGGUGCCCCUUUCUACCUCUUUUUGUGUGUGGGGGUUAAACAUUUCCGGAUUGGACUGAGACUUGCCAAGCGGCCUUGGUUUACUACCAGUAGACCGCCUGUCAAGUUUCGCGCCAUUUGGACUUUGUUUGAUACUCCAACGGUUAACCGAGGGACCGAGAAGGCCUCGUUUGUGUUGCAGCCCAGCACCCUUCCAAUUUGGCCCAAAACCCACCUAAACCCUCUCCAUCAUAUAGAGCGUUCGGUCACGAUCGCGUGGCCGAAAACCGCACCUCAUUUGGAGCUUCCUAGCUCCCUCUACCUAUAAAACUAGCCCCUCCUCCGAAAUUCGCGGAUCAUUCUACCCUAACCCUAAAAAGUUUGUUCUCGCCGCCGCCGGACAUGUCCACCGCCUAACGGACAUCCCGCCGCCGCCAACCUCCGCCUGACACAUGGCAUCCGCCGCCCCACAUCACCGCCAACUGCGCCGGCCCGCGGGGAGCCCCCGCGGCCCAUCUUCGUUGACCCGCGCCCAAGGCGCCAGGGACUCGCUGCGCCGCCCGCCUACCUCAGCGCGUCGCCACCUCCAUCCAACUCCGGAGCCGCCGCAUGCCAUUUCCGGAGGCCACCAUCCGCCAGAGCUCGCUGUCGCCUCCGCAGGACGCCGCCCCGGCGGGAAGCUCACCGCGCCCGGAGUCCCUGUUGCCGGCCGCCGCCCCGACGAGCUUCCCGGGCCGGACCCCUCAUCUCCGGCGCCUCCCCGCAUCCCCGCCGGCCGCUGCUUCUUCUUCCCUGACAUCGCCGACGAUCCUCGUUUUCCGUGCCCUGCUAUAGUAUCGGUUGGAUCCAGAUCUGGAUCUGUGAGGGUUGACUUUCAUCCCCAAGCCCUAAUUAUUUUCCAAACUUUGGCAUGUCAUGACUCCGCAUCCGUAGCUCCGAUUUGUGCGUGUAGCAUAUCAAAAUGUCCGUCUCGACGAGUACAUCAUUUCAUCUCAUUGCACCAUUUUCAUUUGAGCUCAUCUUGAUGCCCGAAAUGUUGUUGGAAGAGGGCUAUGUGAGGAAUUUGUCAGAUCUGUUUCAUCAAAUGGCAUUUUGUCAUUUUUUCCAUGAUUAAUGUGUGCAUGCUAUAAUCCUGAGCUCUACCUAUGUUUUGUUAUAUGCCAUGCCAUCUUUACAGAGGUUCUUACCAUGUAUUUUUGUGAUAUUUGUGGUGACUAGCACAAGCUUGGAAAGUAGCAUAAUCGGUAAUGCUGAUUUCAGGGACUUAGAAUUUCACUAAUCCUUGUUCUGUUUUUGUCGUUAUGCCUUAUGUUCAUGUUGUUUCCUAGUGAUCCGUGCCUCUUUUAAGGAUGAUCGGUAAGGAUGUUUUGUUAACAUUGUGGUGCUCUAUCCAUACAUGUCUUUGUUUGCAUUUAUGGAGCAACCUAGCUUGAGUCAAUCGAGCUCUACUUUUGCUAUAAAGUGAAUCCUGGCAGAUUGUUGACAUGUUUAGCGAGUUUGCCGAGGAUGUUGCUAUUGAUCCGUGCAUGCUAUGAUGUUGUUCUUGCCUUGUCUAGCUUCUAUGUCAUGUAUUCUUCAUGGGUGUAUGCUUAGUUUGUCAUGCCAUGCUCUGUAGUGAGUGCAUCGAGCUCGUAAACAUGCCUACUCGUUAACUGAUUUGCAUGCUCCAGUUUUUCGCUAAGUCUAAAUCUGUUUGUGUUUUUGCCAUGUUCACAUGCUUGCAAUUGUAUUUUAUGAUCCCUUUUGGCUCAAGGUCACUAAGGGACUUUUGCUAAGUGCUUUUAGUAGCUUCAUGCCAUGCCUUGCUUUGCCAUGUUAAGUGCCUGUAGCAUGUAGUUUUCAUGCUCUAAAGUGUGCUUCCUGAUGAUAAAUUCCAGACUUGUGUUAAUUUCACUAAGUGUGAAACCUGUUAUCAUUUGCACUUUUGUCAUGCUUGUUUGAACCUGUUAAUGGAUGAAUUAGCCGUAGCUCAGUGUUAAUCUUUUCUCAAGAAUCAUGAGUGGAUCCCUUCCAUGUAUUUUUUUUGUCAUGUUGGAGUGCUGUAGCAUAUUUAUCUUGAUGCAUUUAGUUGGUCAGUUGCUGAUUAUCGCAGAUCGGUGCCAUAUUUGUUUUGCUUGCCAUUUCCAAACCGUGUAUCCGAUUCCGGUGAUCUUUAUAUCGAUUGCAACCGAAAUCACCUCACCUUUCCAGUGGUACUCUUGUAUUUCCAAGUUGAGGCCAGGUUCAAUCAUUCCAUGUCAAAUCUUGCAUAUGCAUCACAUACCGCAUCCCGCAUAUCAUACCAUGUUUGCAUCAUGUUGUUUGAGCAUUGCACGUGGUUGAUUGUGUUCCGUUUGCUUGUUGUUCUUGUUUGGGUAGAGCCGGGAGACGAGUUCGUGAACGAGGAGCCCGUUGAGUUCGCUUACGAGGAUCAAGUCAACUCUGACAACUUUCCAAGCAAGAUGAUCAUACCCUCGAAAUCACUUCUAUCUUUGCUUGCUAGAUGCUCGCUCUUUUGCUAUGCCUAUGCUAUGAUACCUACCACUUUCUUAUCAUGCCCCCCAAAUUGCCAUGUCAAACCUCUAACCCACCAUGUCCUAGCAAACCAUUGAUUGGCUAUGUUACCACUUUGCUCAGCCCCUCUUAUAGCGUUGCAAGUUGCAUGUGAAGAUUGGAGAUCGUUCCUUGUUGGAACAUUGUUUAUUGUUGGGAUAUCACUAUAUUAUUUUGCUUAUCUUAAUGCAUCUAUAUACUUGGUAAAGAGUGGAAGGCUUGGCCUUUUGCCUAGUGUUUUGUUCCACUCUUGCCGCCCUAGUUUCCGUCAUAUCGGUGUUAUGUUCCCGGAUUUUGCGUUCCUUACGCGGUUGGGUUAUAAUGGGAACCCCUUGACAGUUCGCCUUGAAUAAAACUCCUCCAGCAAGGCCCGACCUUGGUUUUACCAUUCGCCACCUAGCCUUUUUCCCUUGGGUUUCGCGGACUCAAGGGUCAUCUUUAUUUUAAACCCCCGGGACAGUGCUUCUCUAAGUGUUGGUCCAACCCAGAGCACCGUGCGGGGCCUUCCCUUGGCAACUUGGGUUACGUUGGCUCCCAUACGCUUAGCUUAUCCGAUGUGCCCUGAGAACGAGAUAUGUGCAGCUCCUAUCGGGAUUUGUCGGCACAGCGGGUGGUCUUGCUGGACUUGUUUUACCAUUGUCGAUGAUGUCUUGUAACCGGGAUGCCGAGUCUGAUCGGAAUGUCUCGGGAGAAGGAAUAUCCUUCGUUGACCGUGAGAGCUUGUGAUGGGCUAAGUUGGGACUCCCCUGCAGGGAUUUGAACUUUCGAAAGCCGUGCUCGUGGUUAUGGGCAGAUGGUAAUUUGUUAAUGUCCGGUUGUAGAUAACAUGAAACUUAACUUCAUUAAAAUGAAUCAACCGCGUGUGUAACCGUGGUGGUCUCUUCUCGGCAGAGUCCGGGAAGUGAACACUGUGUUGGAGUAAUGCUUGGCGUAGGUUGUUCUAGGAUCACUUCUUGAUCAUAGUUGUUCGUCCGUGCUUUGCUUUCACUUCUCGCUCUCUUUUGCGAAUAGGUUAGCCACCAUAUAUGCUAGUCGCUUGCUGCAGCUCCACAUCAUACCUUGUCUUACCUAUAAGCUUAAAUAGUCUUGAUUGCGAGGGUGCGAGAAUGCUGAGUCCCUGUGACUCAUAGUUUACUUCCAAAACCAGAUGCAGGGACCGAUGAUACCAUUCCAGACGAUGCUCUUGAGCUCAAGUGGGAGUUUUAUAAAGACUCUCGCCGUUACUAUGUGUAUUUCCCAGAUGAUCAGUAGUGAUGCCUAGUUGGGGCGAUCGGGGACUUUGUCGCAUGUGGGGGUUGAUCUUUAUUUUGGUACUGUAGUCGAACCAUGAGUGUAUUGGAUGAUUGUAAUGUUAUUCAUGUAUUUGUGUGACAUGGCGAGUGUAAGCCAACUAUGUACAUUUUCCCCUUUUAUCUAUUUACAUGGGUUGUUGUGAAGAUUACCUUACUUGUGACAUUGCUUUCAAUGUGGUUAUGCCUCUAAGUCGUGCUUCGACACGUAGGAGAUAUAGCCGCAUCGAGGGUGUUACAAGUUGGUAUCAGAGCCUUCCCCGACCUUAGGAGCCCCCUGCUUGAUCGAAUCAUUGGCGUUGUUGAGUCUAGAAAAAUGUUUUGAGUCUUUUAGGAAUUAUAUAUACUGGAGAGUUAGGAAUUCUUUUUACUCCCCAGUCCCUUCAUCGCUCUGGUAAGGCAUCCUGACGUAGAGUUUUGACUCUUCUCUUCUCAUAUUUCACUAAAAUUUUAUUUUUAGGAUCACGCGGGUAUCUUGGAAUCGUUCUGAUCGAUUUGUGAUGAGAGCAUUGUUCUUGGUGCCUCCUGUCAUUUAGGGGUUGUGGCAGUGUCCCGGGGAGUUGAGCUUCGAGGUGUUGUCGUCACAAUUUUAUCGUUGAGAUUCUGUAAUACCUGAGUUUCGCCGACAUAGAAAAUCUCUUUUAUGAAGUUGUUGGUGAGAUAACCUCGACGCCACCCAGUACUGGGGCGAGAGUUCGGGAGUAUUGCCAUAACUCGUAUAACGGAUGCUUUUCGAAGGUUGAGGUAAAUGAUUUCUGAAGUUUUUCUCGGUUAUGUGUUGAAGAAUGGAUACAGCUGGAUGUAGGAUUUGCUAGAUUUGGGUGAGAUAUUAUGCUUCCCCUGUAUCCCCAACACCUGGUUGCAUAACCGGAAAGGUUCGGGAGUUUCAUAGGUGGGAAUUCUUGUAGCUCUAGUUCUUCUUCCGCGGAUAUUUGGUUUGGGAUUGGGUAAUCCUCACCAAGUAUUUGUUCUUGUCCAUACCUUUUGGUUUUAUUCUUCUACCUCAAUUCUAAGUGGCUUCUCAAUUUAUGGAUAUGUGACCAUUUCAAUUGGAAUUCAUUCGUUCAUUUUGUUCGGAUGUGAAGACUUUAUGUUGCAAUUUCAACCCGUUUGAUUCAGCUUCAAUAUUUGUCUGUCAAUGUGCUAACGGAUGUCAAUCUCUUCAGGAUGGCUCCUCCAACGCACACGACUCCGAAUCCUGAUCCGCCACCACCACCUCCACCUCCGGAGGCAUGGCAAGCUGUGAUGGCCGCUACUAAUUCAACCACGCAGCUGAUCAUGCAACUUCUUCAAGAGCGCAACCAAGGGAACCAGGGUCAUGGCAAUAAUCAGAAUCAGUUUGCUACACUCAACCAGUUCCUCGCUAACCAGCCAAAGACCUUCAGCAAUUGUGUUGAGGCAACAGACGCUGAUGAUUGGCUCAUGGACAUAUGCAAGCAUUUCGAGUGCAGUAACGUCAUGCCUGAGGACUUUGUCAAGUUCGCCUCCUUCCAACUCAAAGACCAAGCUGCAGAAUGGUUUUAGCAGUACAAAGAUUCUAGAAGAGGCCGUGUGAUUACCUGGGAUGAAUUCCGUCAAGACUUCAAAGCUCAUCAUAUUCCUCAAAGUGUGGUUGAAAGCAAGCGUGAGGAAUUCCGCAACCUGAAGCAAGGCACUAUGUCUAUUUAUGAGUACAACAAAAUGUUUCAGAAGCUCGCCCGUUUUGCUAAGCAAGAUGUCCCUGGCGAGAAGAGCAUGAUAUACUAGUUCAGCGGUGGUCUCAGAGAAGAACUCCAGCUAGCUCUCGUCCUCUUUGAGCCCAAGAGGUACGAUGAGUUUUACAACAUGGCAAUGAAGCAAGAGACUGCUCAACUGAAGUGCGAUGCUUCCAAGAAGCGAGUCAGAGAUGCAACUCCUUCUUCCUCAACUCAAGUGGCUAAGCAACAGAAGUAUUGGCUUCCUCCUCCUCCAUUUCGUCAGUCUUAUCAGCAGAAGAGCAAAGGUGAUAUGACUUCUUCCAUUUAAUUAAAUGAAAGGGGAUUUGAAAAUAUUUGAAUUUCAUUUGGAAAUAUUUUUCAAAUUCAGAAACUUUAUGCAACUCAAUGAUUUUCACGAGAGAAGGUAAAAUGAAUUCUUCAAAACAUAUGAAAUAUGAGUUGGGAGUUUGAAAGAAUCAAAUUUUAAAGUCCCUUUUAAAUUAUUUUCAAUUUGAAGUUAUUUGGAUCUUAUUCGAAUUGUUUUUCUCCAAAAAUAAAAUAUAGGAAAAUAGGGUAACAUGAUUCCUUACAAUAGAAAAAUGGAGAGAAAUAAAUUUGAAUUAAUUUUGAUAUUUUUAAAAUGAUGUUUACUGGAUUUUACUAGAGCAAUAGCACUCUUUACUUUAUUUGAAUUUUUGUGGAUUUUAUCUGACACUUUGUAGAAAAUCUUUUUUCUCAAAAUUUUGAUAUAUAAUAUGCUUAUAUAUCAUUUUAUUUUAUUUUUGUUAUUCGGUUUUCCUUCUGUUUCUAUUUAGAAAAAAAUGAUAGUAACUGUACAUGCGGUCCAUAGUUAUUUACCGCCCACACGCGUAGCAUAGUGGCAGUGAGCGCCUCAUUUUUUUUUCUCUCCUAAAUGGGCCAGGCCCAGCCAGCCUUUUUGUUUUUUUACUUAGGCCGAUUUUUGUUUAAAAAAACUGCAGCCCGUGUACGCGUGCGGCGGCCGAUGGUUCAAGCCCAUGCGGUUCUCUUCUGUUUCGUUUAAUUAUGUCUACAUUUAGUCCCAAAUUGCCUAGCCUUUUGUCAUGCCCUCGAUGCGGCUAUAUCUCCCACGUGUCGAAGCACGACUUAGAGGCAUAACCGCAUUGAAAGCAAUGUCGCAAGUGAGGUAAUCUUCGCAAACAACCCAUGUAAGACAUAAGGAAAAAGAUACAUAGUUGGCUUAAAUCGCCACUUCACACAAUUACAUGAAUAAAGCAUUACAUCAACCAGAUACAAUCAAGGUCCGACUACGGAACCAAAAUAAAAGAAGAACCCCAAAUGCGACAAAGGUCCCCGAUCGACCCCAACUGGGCUCCACUACUGAUCAACUAGAACGGAACAACAUGAAGGACAAGGUCUUCCUCGAGCUCCUCCUGAGCUUGGUUGCGUCAUCUGCACGGACUCAUCGGCACCUGCAAACUGGUUUUGGAAGUAUUUGUGAGCCAUGGGGACUCAGCAAUCUCGCACCCUCGCGAUCAAGACUAUUUAAGCUUAUGGGUAAGGUAAAGGUAUGAGGUGGAGCUGCAGCAAGCGACUAGCAUAUAUGGUGGCUAACAUACGCAAAUGAGAGCGAGAAGAGAAGGCAAAAUACAAUCGAGAAAGUAUGAUCAAGAAGUGAUCCUAAACAACCUACGGCAAGCAUAACUCCAACACCAUGUUCACUUCCCGGACUCCGCCGGAAAGAGACCAUCACAGUUACACACGCGGUUGAUGCAUUUUAAUUAAGUUAAGGUUCAAGUUAUCUACAACUGGACAUUAACAAAUUCCCAUCUGCCCAUAACCGCGGGCACAGCUUUCGAAAGUUCAAAUCCCUGCAGGGGUGUCCCAACUUAGCCCAUGACAAGCUCUCAUGGUCAACGAAGGAAUAGACCUCCUCCCGAGAUAUUCCGAUCAGACUCGGUAUCCCGGUUCUACAAGACAUUUCGACAGGGUAAAACUAAACCAGCAACACCGCCUGAAUGUGCCGACAAAUCCCGAUAGGAGCUGCACAUAUCUCUUUCUCAGGGCACACUCAGAUGAGCCAAACGUCAGGUAGGCCAGCCCAGAGUUGCCCCUGGUAGCCCCAGACAUUGCUCAUUUGGACCAACACUCAGAGGAGCACUGGCCCGGGGGGGUUAAAAUAAUGAUGACCCUCAGGAGCGCGACUCCCAAGGGAAAAGCGAAGGCUAGGAGGCGAAUGGUAAAACCAAUGUUGGGCAUUGCUGGAAGAGCUUUACUUAAGGAGAACUAUCAAGGGGUUCCCAUAAUAGCCCAACCGCGUAAGGAACGCAAAAUCCAGGAACAUAACACCGAUAUGACGGAAACUAGGGCGGCAAGAGUGGAACAAAACACCAGGCAUAAGGCCGAGCCUUCCACCCUUUACCAAGUAUAUAGAUGCAUUAAUUAAAUAAAAUAUAUUUUGAUAACCCAACAAGUAAACAUGUUCCAACAAGGAACAAUAUCUCCAUGUUCCAACAAGGAACAAACUUCAAUCUUCACCUGCAACUAACAAUGCUAUAAGAGGGGCUGAGCAAAGCGGUAACAUAGCCAAACAAUGGUUUGCUAGGACAGGGUGGGUUAGAGGCUUGGUUCAACAAUAUGGGAGGCAUGAUAAGCAAGUGGUAGGUAUCACAGCAUAGGCAUAGCAAAAGAGCGAGCAACUAGCAAGCAAAGAUAGAAGUGAUUUCGAGGGUAUGGUCAUCUUGCCUGAAAUCCCACAAGGAAGAAGAACGAGUCCAUGAAGAAGACAAACAGACAUAGACGAACGGGUCCUCACAAACAUGACGUUACAGGGACCAACCCGAAGAAGCAAACAUCAGAAAGAAACACACAACAUAGAAAACAACCAACACAUGAACAUGAUAUGAUAUGCGGGAUGCGGAAAGCGAUGUAUAUGCAUGAUGUGACAAGGAAUGCAUGAACCUGGCCUCAACAUGGAAAUCCAAGUGUGCCACUGAAAAGAUGAGAUGAAAUCGCUUAAAAACUAUAUAAAGAUCACCGGAAUCAGAGUUACGGUUUGGAAAUGGCAAGCAAUUCAAAUAUGGCACCGAUCUGCGAUAUACAGCAAGUAGCCAUCUAAAUGCAACAAGAUGAACAUGCUACAGCACUCAAACAUGGCAACAAUAUACAUGGCAGGGAUGCAUUCAAGAUGCUUAACAAAAGUCUGGCACUGAGCUACGGCCAAUUCAUCCAUUAACAGGUUCAAACAAGCGUGGCAAAAAUGCAUAUGACAAACAGAUCUCAGACUUAGUGAAAUUAACACUUGUCUGGAAUUUCAGAUCGGGUAGCACACUUUGGAGCAUGAAAACUAUAUGCUACAGGACCUAAACAUGGAAAAGUAAAGCAUGGCAUGGAGCUCCUCAAAGAGAUUAACAAAAGUCCCUUAGUGACCUUGAGCCAAAAGGGAUCAGAAAAUACAUUUGCAAGCAUGUGAACAUGGCAAAAACAUAAUCAGUUCUCAGACUUAGUGAAAACUGGACCAUGCUGAAAACAGAUAUCAAGUAGGCAUGUUAACGAGCUCGAUGCACUCACUACAGAGCAAGUCAUGAUAAUAUAAGCAUACACCCAUCAAGAAUACACAUUAUACAAGCUAGACAAGGCAAAAACAAUAGCAUAGCAUGCACGGAUCAACUACAACUUCCUCGGCAAAAUCGCUAACAAGUAGACAAUCUGCCCAGAUUCACGAAAUGACAAAAGUAGAGAUCGAUUGACUCAAGCUAGGAUGCUCCAUAAUUGCAAACAAAGACAUGGAUGGAUAGAGCACUACAAGAUUAACAAAACAUCCUUACUGAUCAUCCUCAAAAGAGGCACGGAUCACUAGGAAACAACAUGACCCUAUGGCCAAAUGAGAUAAACAGGUCAAGGACUUAGUGGAAAUGCUAAGUCCCUGAAAUCAGCAUUACCAAGUGCCUCACUUUACAAGCUUGUGCUAGUCACCACACACGUCACAAAAAUACAUGGGUUGCACCUCUGGAAAGAUGGAAAAACCCUUAACAAAACAUAUGUAGGGCUCAUGGGCAUAUCAUGCACACAAUAAUCAUGGCAAAAAUGACAAAUAUCUAAUUGGAGCAGCAGAUCUGACAAUCAACUCAAGUAGAACUCUUCCAACAGCAUUUCGAGCAUCAAGAUGAACUCAAAUGAAAAUGAUGCAAUGAGAUGAAAUGAUGUACUCUCUGAGGCGAACAUUUUGAUAUGCUAUAUGCCCAAAACGGAGCUACGGAUGCAAAGUUACGAUGCUAUGAACAUGAGCAUAAGAAACGUGGGAAACUCGGGGACUUAGUGAAAUUUAUACCACGGAUCCGGGACGAAGCGGUGCAGAUCUGAGACGGGACGUUUGGUUCGGGGAAGUGGUGGAUCUGAUCCACCCUCCACGGAUCCGGAGCGGGACGAGCUCCGGCGAACUCCGGCGAUGUGAGGUGGGGCUCCGGCGAGCUCCGGUUGCCAGAGGCGGCGAGGCGGGAGGCGCGGCGCGCGGGACCGGCAAUGGCGGCGACCCGGCCGGCGGCAGUGGCCCUCAAAGGGCGCGGCGGCGAGCAAACGCGGCAGCGCGGGUCGGCAGUGACGGAGCGGGCAGCAGCGCACAUCGGGCGAGGUGGCGGCGGCCAAGUCCCUGGCGGCGAUGGCGCUAGGCCCCGAGGAGAGCGGGAGCGAGGGGUCGGGCCCCCAUCGAGCGGCGGCGGCGGCGUUUCGGGCCGGGAGGGCCCGAUCCGGGCCCCGGCGAGCCGCGGCGGCGGGGAGGAAAGAGAGGGCGCGGGCGUGGGUGAGGUGGCGCGCCGUGGUUGGGCGAGGUGGUGGCGGAGCUGACGUGGCGGGCGCUGAUUCGCCGGAGUGAGGUGGCCGGUGGACGCGUCCGGCGCGGACGGACGUGUCCGGCACGAACGGACGUAUCCGGCGGCGCGAGGAGGGAGAUGGCUAGGGUUCAUCCGCGAAAUGAUCCGAAAUUUCGGGGAGGGGCACAUAUUUAUAGGUAGAGGGAGCUAGGAGAGUCCAAAUGAGGUGCGGUUUGCGGCCACGCGAUCGUGAUUGAACGCUCUAGAUGAUGGAGAAGGUUUUGGUGGGUUUUGGGCCAAAUUGGAAGGGUGUUGGGCUGCAACACACACGAGGCCUUUUCGGCCCCUCGGUUAACCGCUGGAGCAUCAAACGAAGUUCAAAUGGUACGAAACUUGACAGGCGGUAUACCGGUAGUAAACCAAGGCCGUUUGGCAAGUCUCGAUCCAAUCCGGAAAUGUUUAAUCCCCACACAUGAAAGAAGGUAGAAAUGGUCACCGGAGGAGAACGGAGCGCCGGAAUGCAAAACGGACAACGGAGAAAAUGCUUGGAUGCAUGAGACGAACACGUAUGCAAAUGAAAUGCACAUGAUGACAUGAUAUGCAAUGCAUGACACGCAAGCAAUGACAAGGCAACAACAGCGAAUAACUGGACGACACCUGGCACAUCGGUCUCGGGGCAUUACACCUUUGACCCCUAAACCUAUUUUUCGCCUAUAAAUAUAGACCCAUAGAGCCUCCAAAAAUCAUCUGAUUCGGGUUAAAUCAAUAUUUUGGUUUGACUAGAUUUAAAAAAUAUAUUUUUUUCUCCUCUCCGACGCGACUUCUGGAAGUUGUCUUCUCUCUCCAAAAUCAUAUUUUCUCUACCUUCUUCGUUUUUUAUACUUCCGUAGUUUAUUAUUUUCUAGACUAGUACGAUAAAAUAAUUAGAUUACCAAUUAGUCUUUGUAUUUAUACAUUAGACCUAAAAUUCUUUUAGUCAUAGCUAUUUUUCUUCCGUAAAAGAGCUUGGCCCUGAUUUUUUAAAUAGCCAUAACUUUUUACUCGUUCAUCCAAAUUAGAUGAAACCAAUGCCCACUUCUUCGUUACGAUCUCCUCUAUCCACUAAAACAACUUAAACAUGUUUUUCAAAGUUUUAAAAUUUGAAUUCAAACAUAUUUGUAUUCAAACUUCUUUUGUUCAUAACUUGAGUUUUAUAACUCCGAUUUAGUUGAUUCUUUUUGCAAAUCGAAGCUCUUGACUUGAACUUUCUGAUAAGGAAAAAUUCACAUAAUUUUGGUACUAUUAAAAAAAUUUUAUGUUGCAAGAGUUAUUUGUUGGUUUUGAUGUUUUCCGAACUGUCUUCUUCGUUCUUCCCGAUCUUUUGAGUGAUUGCUUAUGUGUGGUUACUAUUGCUUGCUCACGAUAGAUUGAACGGAGUGUGACGAGUAGAACUAUCAAGAGUUAUGAGUGUGAAUCAUAUUCAUCAACAGUACAAGGCAACUUCACACUUUGAUCAUAUCCCUUUCAUACCAAGUUUUUAUGCAUUAGUUUCACCCUCAAACAUUGCAUGAGUAGGAUUGAUAACAUGUGGGUAUUGGGAAGUAGUUGAUGAGGUAGAACCUAUUGUCCUUUAUAUCAAACCCUUGGGAGUUACUUCUACGUUAUGCUUAUAUUGCCAUGCUAUGCUCGUAGACGUGGAUUGGGUUUGAGUGUAUCCAUGACAGAUGUGAGAUUGUUAAUUAAUGGUUCAACUUAAGGUGGUUACUUUAAUACACAUCUGGGUGGAUUGGUUGGGGCACCCUAGAGUACCCAGUGGUUUGCCCGGGAACCUGGAGAACCCAGUGCUUGCCCAAGGGGAUCCUGGAGGACUCGUGUGAUCACCCUAUGGAAUGCCACCCAGGCUCAAAGGGAUCAUAAGAUUAUUCAUGCUAGAAACUUCCGUGUGCAGCCGCAAGCUAUUUUGGGCUCUAGCAUAGUUGAGUAAGUUGUGUGAAGCUCUUAAAGAGGUAGACUAGUAGAUGUAGUGGGUUGUAGGUGGUAUAGUCUAUCUCGAGUAGAGAGUUAAUGCUUCUGAAAGACUGUGUCUCGGUCAUCCGUUUCUCAAACACCAUGUAGUGCGAGAAAUCCAACGGAGGAGAUCGAUUCUUGUGGGGAAAAGUGUGCAAACCUCUGCAGACUGUACAAACUAAUCAUGGUUAGUCGUGUCCCCGGUUAUGGACAUCUUGAGUCUCUGGUACUUGGAUUAUCAUAUUGAUCUCAUCAUGUUACUUAAAUAAUUGGUUGGGUUAUUGAUGUUAAUUUGGGAUUGAGUUGGAGGAACCUUCUCAAUAUUUUCUACCAACUUUGUAGUUAAAUAAGUUAUAUUCCUUUGCAGUAGGGAAAAUUGGCUUUUCGCAAAAACAUUAUAACCAUAGAGCUUUUCCACCAGCCAUAUAUGCAUGUAGUGAUAGCUAUUAUUCAUUAUUAUCCUAUGGUGUGAAUUUGCCAGUACAUUCAAUGUAUUGACCCUUUGUGGCUGCAACGUCUCAUGUUGCUGGAUUCUUACGGCGAGUAAGUGAUACGUUAGGGUUAUGAUUUCUACACUCAACUUUGCCGUUGGUGUUGAUGGGAAUCCACAACCUUGUUGUUACUUCCGCUAUUUGGAUUGAGGUAAUAGUAUUUACGUUAUUUUAUACAUGUGAUUUACCUCUGUUAUAAAUCCUCGAGUAUUGUGUGUGUCAGCAUACCAAUCCAAGGAUGACACUUAAGCACAGAGACUUGACCGUCUGAGGUCGGGUCGCUACAUUUGUCCCCAAAGGUGGGACGUUCCCUACCGAAACCAUCAUGCUUGUUGUGAGAACCUCUGGUUUGUGAGAAGCAUAUACAAAAACCUGCCCCAAAUGGGAUAGAAAUUUUACAACGGCAUGUUGAUGCCACUCCAUGAUAGCAUGCCAAGUUGCAUGAAUUUCAGAUGAGUUUUGGAUUUACUAGAAUUUAAAAACCAGGUUACUCAAUGUUUGCGGCCGAGUGACGGUGCUAGGGUAUUUGACAUUCAUUCCCAUUUCUUGCAUGGGACCUAAGCAUGCAAUGAAGGACAAAUAUUUGAAUUUUCAACCAAUUUAUAUGCAUUAGAGCAUGUGCAUGUAGUUCAAAUUUGAAUUAUGCACAUAAAUGCAUGAAAACUCAAUUAAUGCAUAAAAAUGUCCAAAUGAACCCCGAAAAAUCACAAAAAAUUGACACCACACUCCUGUUGUUCUAUGUUGACACCAGAAUUUUUUUGAAAGCAAUAAGAGGCAAUGGAUAUCGUUUCGUCCCCAAAGGUGGGACGUUCCCUACCGAAACCAUCAGGCGUGUUCUGAGAAGCUCUGGUUUGUGAGAAGCAUAUCCCCAAACCUACCCCAAAUGGGACAAAAAAAUUACCAUGGAAUGUUGAUGCCACUCCAUGAUAGCAUGCCAAGUAUCAUGAAUUUUAGACGAGCUUUGGAUUUACUAGAAUUUAAAAACUAGGGAUCUCAAUGUUUGUGGUCGAGUGACGGUGGCAGGGUGUUUAACAUUCAUUCCCAUUUCUUACAUGGGACCUAAGCAUGCAACCAAGGACACAGAUUUGAAUUUUCAACUAAUUUAUAUGCAGUAGAGCAUGUGCCUAUAGUUCAAAUUUGAAUUAUGCACAUGAAUGCCUAGAAAACUCAGUUAAUGUAUAAAAAUGUCCAAGCGAACCCCGAAAAAUCCCAAAAAUUGACACAACACUCGUGUUGUUCUAUGUUGACACAAGAAACAUUUUCAAAGUAAGAAGAGGCAACAGAUAUCGUUUCGUCCCCCAAGGUGGCACGUACCCUACCGAAACCAUCAGGCUUGUUGUGAGAGAAGCUUUGGUUUGCGAGAAGCUUAUACCCACACCUACCCCAAAUGGGACAGUAUUUUUACCACGGCAUGUCGUUGUCGUUCCAUGAUAUCAUCUCAAGUUUCAUGAAUUUUAGACGAGUUUUCGAUUUACUAGAAUUACAAAAGCAAGUACCUCAACAUUUGCCGGAGAGCCACGGUGUCGUGGUGUUCGAAAUUCAUCCCAUUUCUUGCAUGGGACAUAAGCAUAAACCCAUGGACACAUAUAUGAUUUUACAACCCAUGUUGGUGCACCGGAGCAUGUGCAUGUGCUUUAAUUUUGAAUUGUGCACCUCAAAUGGCUAGAAAACCAAUUUAAUGUAUAAAAUUUCCAAACGAACCCUGAAUAAUUCCAAUUUUUUUACGACACACAUAUAGUUGCAUGUUCACUACAGAUAAAAGGUCUAGCAAUUCAAACACCAUCCAUUGCCACUGUGACCCCAUUAUGUAAUUCAAAUCAAGAUGAAAAAUCAAGUAGAUCCCACUCAGUUUAUUAUCAUGAACCGUGUGAGAUGCGGUACAAAAUAACCUGGAGCACCGUCAGUGUAUAGUAUGCCUAUGGCUUACGCGAGAAGGUGCGUCGGCUACAGUCCACAGCCGACGUGUCAAGCACACUAGCUUGCUCCACAAAUAUCAUUUCACUAUUCAAUCAUCGCCGGUGAAAGAUGGGGACGUGGACCCGCGUCGUGAGGGCAACUUCGGUGGCCCACUCCGGCGAGAGCACGGCCGCAGCCGCCAUGCGUGUGCUAACAAGGUGCAUGAGCGCGGCCGCAAUCUGCGACCGGGCGGCCAAGGCAGCCCAAAUGGCCGCUGUUGCUUCUCAGGUGGCGGCAUCAACAUCUGCCUCAGGGAUAGCAACUGGCGAGAGCGGCACAUCAGUUGUUCGUUCCAUAGCGGCGGCUUUAGCCCUGAUGGAGGCCGCCCAUGACCAUGUUGAGGCUGCCCACGCCCAGUUCGUGGCGGUCACCGCACAAAUCGAACGAAGCUUCUCCGACAAUGGAGGCAACCCAUGGCUGAAGAGUUGGCAAUCGCCGAGAGCGUUCGAGCAGACGUCCGUUCCUCCGAUGCAUACCUUGCAACGCGAAGCCCGUCCAAGCCCAGAUCGAAGCUGCCCACGCCCAGCUUGUGGCGGCCUUUUCCAAAGAGAUGGCGGACACGGAUGGUGAGAUGCUUGUCGAGUAUGGUGCAAUGGAUGCCAUGGAGCCCCUUCCCUAGGAGACCGUCGGGCGCGAGCUGGACAUGGAGGAGGUGGCGGAGAUCGACCAGCACCAGCCGUAGUAGUACUCUUUGUUUUGUUUAAUUAAGAGUGUCGGUCUUUAAUUUGUUAGAGUAAUGUUUAGGCCAGCUAGCUCUGUUUAAUUGUUGAACUUGCUUGAUUAAUAAGUGUGGGUGUGUUGUGUACCCAAAUUAUGCAAUGACGUGGAUGACCACUAUAACCAGGGAAAUUGGAACCAAAAUUUUUUACGUUCAAACUCAUCACACACGGGUUAAACUAUCUGAAUUGUUUGUGAUGUUCACAUAUCAUACACAGUUCUGAAUAAGGGACCGUGUCUGAUGACACUUUGCGCGCCAGCUUUUUCGCUAAAUCGAUUCAGUUUUUUCGGCUUCUGCAGAAAUAUCUACCUCCCCGCCCCUCCCCCUUACCAAAAGCCACAUUUCCCCUGUUUCCGCCUUCCUUUCCAAGUUGAAACCUUCACUCCUUGCUUGCAGUGCCGCCUCCUCGCCGACGACCCUCCUUCACGCUGCUCGGCCUCGUCUAUCUAGGUAGGUAAUCCACACCCGACCCCCAUCCUCAUCCUCCUUCCACAUCCCACAUGCCCCGACCGCUGGUGCGACACCUUCCACACAAAUCACCGACCCCUAGCUCCACCAAAUAAGCACCGCCCUAAGCCAUGGUGCAGCAGUAUAGCCAGGAGCUCAAGGAGCAUUUGGCAGCGGAGAGCAAAUCACGGCCGCACGCGCGGAUGAGGUCGUGAUGGCUGCCAUUCGUGCUGACCCCCAGAUCUUGGAGGAGCACCUUGCCAUUUGCUAGCUACGCUAGUUAAGAAUGCUCGAUUUACCCAUUGCAUGUGCUACUCCUGCCUUUCAUUAACAAAUUCUAGUGAAUUGUGCUAUCUAAUUUUACCAUGCAAUCUGUUUCUCUAGUGUAGAUGUUCUAUAUGUCGUGCAGUGUGGUGCUCACUUAUUAACUAUUUGGUUAAUUAGUUGUCGUCUUCAGUUAACUGUUUGGUUCAAUUAUACAAAUGUGAUGCUCAAUUCUUCAGGCUCCAAUUUUGUAUUGUCUUCCAUGUUUGAAAUAAAUCAAAUUUAUCUUUACAAAAUACAUGAGAAACGAAUACAAUUGCUAUAUUUCCAAGUUGUCAAGCAUGCUUGGUUUGGUUAUACAUUAUGCAAUGUGGUUCUCAGUUAACGUUUGGUUCGUUUGUGUUGUGAUGUUUAGUUAAUUGUUUGGUUCAAUUCUGCAAUGCGAUGUUCAAUAGUUGUGGGUGCAUUCUGUUAUUGUAUACCAUGUGAUAAGUAAAUCGAAUUUGGCUGUACCAAAUACAUGAGAAACAAAUAAAAUUGCUAUAUUUCCAAGAUGUUAAGCAUGCUUGGUUUGGUUAACUGUCUAAUCUUCUAUUAGGAGUAUGUUAUAUUGUGCGGGAUGGUACUCAGUUAAUGUUUGGUUCAUUUAUUGUGGUGUUUAGUUAACUAUUUGGGUCAAUUCUGCAAUGCGAUGUUCAAUUGUUGCGGGUGCAUUCUGUUAUUGUAUACCAUGUGAGGAAUAAAUUGAAUUUGGAUGUAGUAAAUACAUGAGAAACAAAUACAGUUGCUAUAUUUCCAAGUUGUUAAGCAUGCUUGGUUUGGUUAACUGUCUGAUCUUCUAUUAGGAGUAUGUUAUAUUGUGCAAUGUGGUGCUCAGUUAAUAUUUGGUUCAUUUGUUGUGGUGUUUAGUUAAAUACUUGGUUCAAUUCUGCAAUGCGAUAUCCAAUUGUCGUGGGUAGAAUUUUGUAUUGUUGUGCAUGUGAGGAAUAAAUCGAAUUUGGUUGCACUUAAUACAUGAGAAACAUAUACAAGUGCUAUAUUUCCUAGUUCUUAAUCAUGCUUGGUUUGGAUAACUGGGUUUUCCACGUGGCUUGAAUUAAUUUGAAGAAUAUGCAAUGUGCUUAUUUUUCAUCAACAUAUUUUACUCAUAGCAUGUGAACCCUUACUUAACUUGAUAACUAACUACCUUAUAUGUGUUGCAGGGAAACAAUGGGAAGCACUGAGGUUUACAAUCGAGGUUACACAUGCAUGGUCCGUUGUCUAAUAGCACAUUAUUGUGAAAUUGCAGGAACCAUUCUAAUAUUUAGGUUUUUAACAAUUUGGUCUUGCAUAUGUAGGUCAUGCUAUGAGAGGUUUUGACCCACUGUUCGACCCUUUUUGCAUAUGGGGAAAUAAGUUGUCCAUGAAUAUCAAUCAAGUCAAGAAACUCAGAAAGAUUGUUAGUGACAAAAAACAACAAGAUCUUUGUCUGCACAAUGAAGAAGACAUCAGUUCACUACAAGAUGGUACUAACUAUUAUACCCUGCCUUUUUAUUCCUUUGUCCUAUUUCCAAUAUAGAGAAGAUAUUUAUGCACAUCCUUGUUUUCAGGCCUUUCCAAAGUAGUUCACUGAUGAUUACCUCUCAAACCACCUCUAUGGUUAGGAGGCGAGGAAGGCUUUCAUACAACACCCACGGUUCAAUAUUGAAGUGUUUCUGAAAAGGACGAAGGACGGACGGUCAAUCAUCCACAGGCACUGGCCUAAAGUUGCAAAGACCUUUAACAUGAAUGAAGGCUCAAUAUUCGCCUUCCGCUUCAGCAGUUUUCCAGAUGAGAUGCAUCUGUCUAUGUACCAUCUAUGAUGAUAAUUUUGAAAGGUUCUACAUGUUGCAUGUGAAACUUGGUGCUGGUGCAGUUGUGUAAUGGGGUAGCUGAGUGCUGAAGCUAUAUCAUGUUGUACUCUGAUGUAUUUCAAUUCAGAAAUCCUACUUCCUUAAUAUGGAAAUGAAAUAUAUUAUCUGCUUAAUAUGAAUGUCAAUUAGAUUAAUAAAUGGAUUAUUAACAAUAGGGUAAUUAGCCUACUAAUGGCGAAUUAGCCUGCUAAUUGGGUUUUGCUAUUGCAAAUGGUUAUUGAGAAAAUACCGUGGGCGAUGACCUCAGGCAAUGCACACAGUUUCUAGGAAUAAACCGUGUUGGAUCAAUGAACAAUCACACACGGCCUUCUUCUGGAAACUGUUUGCGUUAGGCCACCUUGCGCAAAUGUUUACCACAUAAACACUGUGUGUGAUGGACAGCCUUUGCCACAUAGUUUCUUCUACGCACCGUGUGUGAUGCAUUCAAUAACGCAGACGAUAAAAUUGUUAAUAUCGUGUGUGAUGUACCUGCGAACGGAAACGUUUUCCUUGGAGCGACAAUGUGGGGUGUAUAUACGAACCGAAACGUUUAGCAGGGACUGACUGUGUGGGAUGUACUUACGACCAGAAACGAUUUCGUCUAUAUAAUUGUAUUUUUAGCACUACCGUACAUAUAACCGUAUUUGAUCGCUCGCCGGUCGCACACGAGCUAAUUUUGCCGAGCGUGUGUGCCAGGAGGGCAUAUCCCCGACGGUCUAUGGGUCGUGUGGGAAGGACCCCCUAUCUCCCACACUCACUUGGCGGCGGUUCCAAAUGCCAUCACGGAAAGGGGUUAAAACCGUUUGUAUAGCACCUCGCUAUACCAGUGUUAGCAAGGAAUGGUAGGGGCAAUCAAAGUAGAAUAGCCUGCGAAUUUGAUGGCAACGGAUUAAAAUAGAGGAAAACUCAAACGCUCUUUGCCAAUAACACAUCAUAGAGGCAGGAUUUUCAAGGACAAAUCAGGGUACAUCUAAGUGCCUUGAUGAACAUGAAAAUAAAAAAUAGAAUUUCUAAUACCCACCUAAUUAAUGUCACUCUUUAUUGGACCAAAAACGGUGAUAAUCCAUGGUACAGCCCCUGGAAAGAGGGAGAGAGAGGGAGGGAGAUGGGAAGAAGUGUUGGGGAAUGUAGUAAUUUCAAAAAAAAUCCUACGCACACGCAAGAUCAUGGUGAUGCAUAGCAAUGAGAGGGGAGAGUGUGGUCCGCGUACCCUCGUAGACCAUUAAGCGGAAGCGUUGUAACAACACGGUUGAUGUAGUCGUACGUCUUCACGAUCGACCGAUCCUCAGCACCGAAUGUACGGCACCUCCGCGUUCAACACACAUUCAGCUCGGUGACGUCCCGCGAACUCACGAUCUAGUAGAGCUCGGGGAAGAGUUUCGUCAGCACGACGGCGUGGUGAUGAUGUUGAUGAAGCUACGGACGCAGGGCUUCGCCUAAGCACCGCUACGAUAUAACCGAGGUGGAUUAUGGUAGACGGGGGCACCGCAAGAGAUCAAUAGAUCAAUUAUUGUGUCUCCAAGGGGUGCCCCCCUCCCCGUACAUAAAGUAGGGAGAGGAGGAGGGGCGUCCAAGGAGGAGGAGGCGCGCCCAAGGGGGGCAAUCCUACUCCAAGUAGGAUUCCCCGCUCUUUCCUAGUCCUAGUAGGAGAGGGGAAGGAAGGGGAGGAGAAGAAGAAGGAAAGGGGGGCCGGCCCCCUAGUCCAAUUCGGCUUCGGCUAGGGGGCUGCACGUCCCUAGCUGGCCUCCUCUCCUCUUCCUCCACUUGGGCCCAUAAAGCCCAAUAACCCCCCGGGAGGUUCCGGUAACCUCCCGGUUCUCCGGUAUUUAUCCGAUAACCCCCAAAACUCAUCCGGUGUCCGAAUAUAACCUUCCAAUAUAUCGAUCUUUACGUCUCGACCAUUUCAAGACUCCUCGUCUUGUCCGUGAUCAUAUCCAGGACUCCAAACUACCUUCGGUACAUCAAAACACAAAAACUCAUAAUACUGAUCGUCAUAGAACUUUAAGCGUGCGGACCCUACAGGUUCGAGAACUAUGUAGACAUGACCGAGACACGUCUCCGGUCAAUAACCAAUAGCGGAAACUGGAUGCUCAUAUUGGUUCCUACAUAUUCUAUGAAGAUCUUUAUCGGUCAAACCGCAUAACAACAUACGUUGUUCCCUUUGUCAUCAGUAUGUUACUUGCCUGAGAUUCGAUCGUCGGUAUCUCAAUACCUAGUUCAAUCUUGUUACCGGCAAGUCUCUUUACUCAUUCCAUUAUGCAACAUCUUGCAACUAACUCAUUAGUCACAUUGCUUGCAAGGCUUAUAGUGAUGUGCAUUACCGAGAGGGCCCAGAGAUACCUCUUCGACAAUCGGAGUGACAAAUCCUAUUCUUGAUCUAUGCCAACUCCACGAACACCAUCGGAGACACCUGUAGAGCACCUUUAUAAUCAUCCAGUUAUGUUUUGACGUUUGGUAGAACACAAAGUGUUCCUCCGGUAUUCGGGAGUUGCAUAAUCUCAUAGUCAUAGGAACAUGUAAAAGUCAUGAAGAAAGCAAUAGCAGUAAACUUUAAAUGAUCAAGUGCUAAGCUAACGAAAUGGGUCAAGUCAAUCACAUCAUUCUCCUAAUGACGUGAUCCCAUUAAUCAAAUGACAACUCAUGUAUAUGGUUAGGAAACAUAUCAUUGAUUCAACGAGCUAGUCAAGUAGAGGCAUACUAGUGACAAUCUGUUUGUCUAUGUAUUCACACAUGUAUUAAGUUUUCGGUUAAUACAAUUCUAGCAUGAAUAAUAAACAUUUAUCAUGAAAUAAGGAAAUAAAUAAUAACUUUAUUAUUGCCUCUAGGGCAUAUUUCCUUCCGUCUCCCACUUGCACUAGAGUCAAUAAACUAGAUUACAUAGUAACGAUUCUAACACCCAUGGAGUCUUGGUGAUGAUCAUGUUUUGCUCGUGGAAGAGGCUUAGUCAGCGGGUCUGCAACAUUCAGAUCUGUAUGUAUCUUGCAUAUCUCUAUGUCUCCCACCUGGACUUGAUCCUGGAUGGAAUUGAAGUGUCUCUUGAUGUGCUUGGUUCUCUUGUGAAAUCUGGAUUCCUUUGCAAAGGCAAUUGCACCAGUAUUGUCACAAAAGAUUUUCAUUGGACCCGAUGCACUAGGUAUGACACCUAGAUCGGAUAUGAACUCCUUCAUCCAGGCUCCUUCAUUUGUUGCUUCCGAAGCAGCUAUGUACUCCCCUUCACACGUAGAUCCCGCCACGAUGCUUUGUUUAGAACUGCUCCAACUGAUAGCUCCGCCGUUCAAUAUAAACACGUAUCCGGUUUGCAAUUUAGAAUCGUCCGGAUCAGUGUCAAAGCUUGCAUCAACGUAACCAUUUACGAUGAGCCCUUUGUCAGCUCCAUAAAUGAGAAACGUAUCCUUAGUCCUUUUCAGGUAUUUCAGGAUGUUCUUGAUCGCUGUCCAGUGAUCCACUCCUUGAUUACUUUGGUACCUCCCUGCUAAACUAAUAGGAAGGCACACAUUAGGUAUGGUACAUAGCAUUGCAUAUAUGAUAGAGCCUAUGCCUGAAGCAUAGGGAACACUUUUCAUUUUCUCUCUAUCUUCUGUAGUGGUCGGGCAUUGAGUCUUACUCAACUUCACACCUUGUAACACAGGCAAGAACCCUUUCUUAGCUUGAUCCAUUUUGAACUUCUUCAAAACUUUAUCAAGGUAUGUGCUUUGUGAAAGUCCAAUUAAGCGUCUUGAUCUAUCUCUAUAAAUCUUGAUGCCCAAUAUAUAAGCAGCUUCACCAAGGUCUUUCAUUGAAAAACUCUUAUUCAAGUAUCCUUUUAUGCUAUCUAGAAAUUCUAUAUCAUUUCCAAUCAACAAUAUGUCAUCCACAUAUAAUAUUAGAAAUGCUAUAGAGAUCCCACUCACUUUCUUGUAAAUACAUGCUUCUCCAAAAGUCUGUAUAAAACCAUAUGCUUUGAUCACACUAUCAAAACGUUUAUUCCAACUCCGAGAGGCUUGCACCAGUCCAUAAAUGGAUCGCUGGAGCUUGCACACUUUGUUAGUACCCUUUGAAUCGAUAAAACCUUCAAGUUGCAUCAUAUACAACUCUUCUUCCAGAAAACCAUUCAGGAAUGCAGUCUUUACAUCCAAUUGCCAAAUUUCAUAAUCAUAAAAUGCGGCAAUUGCUAACGUGAUUCAGACGGACUUAAGCAUCGCUACGGGUGAGAAGGUCUCAUCGUAGUCAACUCCUUGAACUUGUCGAAAACCUUUUGCAACAAGUCGAGCUUUGUAGACAGUAAUGUUACCGUCAGCGUAAGUCUUCUUCUUGAAGAUCCAUUUAUUCUCGAUGGCUUUCAUCGGGCAAGUCAACCAAAGUCCACACUUUGUUCUCAUACAAGGAUCCCAUCUCAAAUUUCAUGGCUUCAAGCCAUUUUGUGGAAUCUGGACUCAUCAUCGCUUCCUCAUAGUUCGUAGGCUCGUCAUGGUCAAGUAACAUGACCUCCAGAACAGGAUUACCGUACCACUCUGGCGCGGAUCUUACUCUGGUUGACCUAUGAGGUUCAAUAGUAACUUGAUCUGAAGUUUCAUGAUCAUCAUCAUUAGCUUCCUCGCUAAUUGGUGUAGGUGUCACAGGAACCGAUUUCUGUGAUGAACUACACUCUAAUAAGGGAGCAGGUAUGGUCACCUUAUCAAGUUCUACUUUCCUCCCACUCACUUCUUUCGAGAGAAACUCCUUCUCUAGAAAGGAUCCAUUCUUAGCAACAAAUGUCUUGCCUUCAGAUCUGUGAUAGAAGGUGUACCCAACAGUCUCCUUUGGGUAUCCUAUGAAGACACAUUUCUCCGAUUUGGGUUCAAGCUUAUCAGGUUGAAGCUUUUUCACAUAAGCAUCGUAGCCCCAAACUUUAAGAAACAACAACUUUGGUUUCUUGCCAAACCACAGUUCAUUAGGCGUCGUCUCAACGGAUUUUGAUGGUGCCCUUUUUAACGUGAAUGCAGCUAUCUCUAAAGCAUAACCCAAAAACGAUAGCGGUAAAUUAGUAAGAGACAUCAUAGAUCGGACCAUAUCUAGUAAAGUACGAUUACGACGUUCAGACACACCAUUACGCUGUGGUGUUCUGGGUGGUGUGAGUUGCGAAACUAUUCCACAUUGUUUCAAAUGUAGACCAAACUUGUAACUCAAAUAUUCUCCUCCAUGAUCAGAUCGUAGAAACUUUAUUUUCUUGUUACGAUGAUUUUCCACUUCACUUUGAAAUUCUUUGAACUUUUCAAAUGUUUCAGACUUAUGUUUCAUUAAGUAGAUAUACCCAUAUCUUCUCAAAUCAUCUGUGAAGGUGAGAAAAUAACGAUACCCGCUGCAAGCCUCAACAUUCAUCGGAUCACAUACAUCAGUAUGUAUGAUUUCCAACAAGCACUACAAAAAAAGACACAUCCGUGACAUUUUGGGCCGAACGAAAAAAAAUUAUGUCAUACAUAUGACACUUCUAUGACGAUAAUUGUGACAAAACCCGGUAUCAUCAUAGAUGUGGUGGGCUCCUACUUCUAUGACAAAAAAAGCAUGACAGAAAAUGGGCUUUUCGUCCUGGGCGGGCCGGAGACGCAGCUGCAUGACAUUCUUUGGGCCGUCCAUGACGGAAAAACGGUGGUAGAAGCGAGGGUAAGGAAAAUUUCGGGGAGUUCUGGGUUACGGUGGGAGGUCGGGGGCCGAGCGAUGCGCGUUUCUUGCGCGUUUCUCUCGUACACGUACGCGCGUGUGUGCGAGGCGUUGGCUCUAACUGAACCCGAGCGAGGCGUUGGGCUUUAACUGAACCCGAGCGAUUGCACUGCAGGCUACGCGUUACUGAACUCAAGUGAUCGAUCGAUGGUUGUUAACUGAACCCGAUCGAGCGAUUCCUUCGCUACUGCUGCUAACUGAAGCCGAUCGAUUGGAUGAACAGUGAGCAUUGCGGGGGGGUAGGAUGAACAGUGAGCGGUGGCGUUGCCUCUGGAUGAACAGGACCCCGUGGUGUGGAGGGCUGGAUGAACAGUAGACGGUGGAGGGGUGCCCGUGGAGGGGUGGUUGAAGAGGACCCCGUGGUGUGGAGGGCUGGAUAAAUAGUAGACGGUGGAGGGGUGGUUGAACAGUAGCCGGUGGAGUAGCGUGCGGUGGAGGCUGGAUGAACAGGAGACGUGGAGGCUGGAGGAGGUCGACGGUAGCCCGUGGAGGCCGGAGGAGGUCGACGGUGGAGAUGAAUAGUAUCUCGUGGAGUCCCGUUUUGUGGUACGCCACACCCCUCCCGAUGAACAGGACCCCGUUUCGACCGUAGGAGGUCCAUUUCGUCUGUUUUGCGGUACGCCACACCCCUCCCGAUCAACAGGACCCCCGUUUCAUCCGUUUUGCGGUACGCCACACCCCUCCCGAUCAACAGGACCCCCGUUUCNNNNNNNNNNNNNNNNNNNNNNNNNNNNNNNNNNNNNNNNNNNNNNNNNNNNNNNNNNNNNNNNNNNNNNNNNNNNNNNNNNNNNNNNNNNNNNNNNNNNNNNNNNNNNNNNNNNNNNNNNNNNNNNNNNNNNNNNNNNNNNNNNNNNNNNNNNNNNNNNNNNNNNNNNNNNNNNNNNNNNNNNNNNNNNNNNNNNNNNNNNNNNNNNNNNNNNNNNNNNNNNNNNNNNNNNNNNNNNNNNNNNNNNNNNNNNNNNNNNNNNNNNNNNNNNNNNNNNNNNNNNNNNNNNNNNNNNNNNNNNNNNNNNNNNNNNNNNNNNNNNNNNNNNNNNNNNNNNNNNNNNNNNNNNNNNNNNNNNNNNNNNNNNNNNNNNNNNNNNNNCUCCCCAUGAACACGACGCAUUCCGUUGCCUCCCCAUGAACACGACGCAUUCCGUUGCCUCCCCAUGAACACGACGACGAUGAUGGUUCUCCGUGCCGACUCAGCCAUGUACACGAGCCCUCGCCGUACGUAUGCGCGAGUAGGCGUUCGAGACCCUGCCCGUAUGUACGUACGUGGUCGUAUUUUCUUUCUUGCACCCUGGCCGUUGUACGUACGUGUACAUGCUACGUGCGCGCCUCUACUAUGACACGUGCGCGCCUCUACAUCGACCAGUAUAUAUGUACGUGCAUGUUCGCGACCAGAAUGACAAUGCUACAUACGCUUCGACCAGGUGGGUCACGACUGUCAGGUACUUCCUUGCCUACGAAGAUGUAGCUGGUGGGUCCCAACAGUCAGGGGGGCGAAUCAUUUUGGUUUUUUCUUACCCGGAUGCACUUCCUUGCGUGCGAAGAUGUAGCUGGUGGGUCCCAGCAGUCAGGGGGGCGAAUCGUUUUUUUAUUGCCCGGGCAGACUUCCUUGCGUGCGAAGGUGUAGCUGGUGGGUCCCAGCAGUCAGGGGGGAAACGUUUUUUUCGCAAAAUACGGUGGCCUGUCCGGUGGGUCCCUGCUGUCAGGUGGAGGAAUCAUUAUUUUGCGCGUAAUAAGGAGGCACUUCCUUGCUGCCGCCGUGGACCCAGCUGUCAUCCUCUCCACGUAUAGUCCAUGUUCGAUGUAAUUCAUUCCUUGACCAUGUUGACCACGCCGCGCCGAGAGCACCAGGGCGGUGGACGACAGCGAGGCCUAGGAAGGGGACGACGCGGAGCCGAUGAAGACGCGACAGUGGAUGCCCACGUGGAGAGGAGUAUGAGGGUUCACUCGUUCGGCUGCGGUGUGAGGUUGCCGUUGCUGCAGGGCUUGGCCAGCGGUGGGAAUAGUAGGGGGCGGUGAGGCCUCCGCGAUAGCACAGCCGGCCACGGGAGGCAGGAGCAGGCGGCACGACCGGCACUGCUUUGGGCGGCUGGAGCAAGAAGACCAGAGGUUGAAGAAGCACUACGGCCGUUGGAUGGACAUCGUACGGUCACUAGAGCUAGAAUCGUUCAUAUUGACUAAGUUGACAAAGCCCUCCAUCCCCGUCAACUUAGUAGGCCCACAAGUCAGCCUCCCACCAAGGUGGGUCCCAGCUAGCAGGGGGGGUAUUCAUUUUUUUGUGCGUAAUAAGGAGGCACUUCCAGUGGGUCCAAGCUGACAGCGGGGGGAACGUUUUUUCAUGAAAUAUGGUGGCCCGUCCGGUGGGUCCCAGCAGUCGGGGGGAAAUGUUUUUUUGCAAAAUAAGGUGGCCCGUCCGGUGGGUCCCCGCUGUCAGGUGGAGGAAUAAUUAUUUUGCACGUAAUAAGGAGGCACUUCCUUGCGGCCACCGUGGACCCAGCUGUCAGCCUCUCCACGUACAGUACUCUUCCGAUGGAAGUUGGUCGUUGACCAUGUUGACCACGCCGCGCCGAGAGCACCAGGGUGCUGGACGAUGGCGAGGCCUAGGAAGGGGAUGACGCGGAUCCGGGGAAGACGUAGCAGUGGAAGCCUGCGCGGAGAGGAGUACGAGGGUUCACUGGUUCGGCUGCGGUGUGAGGCUGCCGUCGCCGCAGAAUAACAGGGGGUGUGGGUGAGUGGAGGGAUGGCCUGGCCAGCGGUGGGAGUAGUAUGGGGGGCGGUGAGGCCUCCGCGGCAGCACAGCCAGCCACGGGAGGCAGGAGCAGGUGGCACCACCGGCGCUGCUUUGGGCGGCUGGACCAAGAAGACCAGAGGUUGAAGAAGCACUACGGCCAUUGGAUGGACAUCGUACAGUCAUUGAAGCUAGAAUCAUUAAAAUUGACUAAGUUGACAAAGCCAUUGGUACGCUCCAACUUAGUAGGCCCACAGGUCAGCCUCCGAAACAGUGCGCCCCAGAUGUCAGGGGGAGGAAUCAUUUUUUGGGCGACCGAAGCUAAGAAUAUCCGAGAUUAAAGAAGAAGCACGACAUCCGUUGGAUAGACAUCCAACGGCCACUGCUGGUAGAACCGUGUGUUGACUAUAAUAAGUUGACAAAGCCUUGCAUACGCGUCAACUUAUUUUUUCUAGGGGACGCGUCACUUAGUAGGCCCACAAGUGUGUGGCAGAGAACUUAUAGCCCAUUUGCGUUUUGUAAGAAUGUAUAGCCCAUUUUUGAAUUCUAAUGGAAUUUACAACAGCCCAUUUACAGUUUGUUAAAAGUAUAGCCCAUUUUCUAGCUAGGACAACGAUUAAUAAUUUCAACCAACCGUUGAAGAUAGAAUUCAAUAAAAUUUUCCACAUUUUGAUGGGAUCUGAAAUAUUUUUAUCCCGAAAUUUCUAGUCAGAUUAAAUAUAAAUUUGUAUUACGUAAAAAUCCUAUGAAACAUUGCGCGCGCAACAAUGAAAAUUUAAGAUUUUCAAAAUCCAUAAAUAAUAUUUUAUAAACUAAUUUCGUGUUUGGUGCAUUUUUAUAGUUACUGCCCAGUUUUUAUAAUUACAUCCCAUUUAUUAUUUUUUAAAGCCCAUUUUCCUGUUAAGCCUAAUGCAUCCCUCCUAGGAAAGAUUUGCAGCCCAACGGGGUGGAGAAUAAUAAGUUGACCUUGCCUGGGUAUUCCUCAAAAAGACGUAUAUCUAGGCUAGCCAUUUUCAUCUUGAAAAAAUAAGUAUCUGGGCUGGAUAUCUAGCCUGGGCUAGAUGGGCCACAGCCCGCCCAGUUAGUACCCCGCUCUCCUCUGAACAAUAACAAAAUCAUCGCCAAGAAAAACUCUGCAGUGCUGACGCCUCAAAAACACAAAUACUGCUCGAGUUGCUUGGUCCCAGCUGUAGGCCGCACCUUGUGCAAUUCUCUCGUUUAUAUUGACUACAUAGGUUGACAAUGGUGUGUGACCGUGAUGUCAGGAAACCAAGAGAAAGCAAAAAAAAUAUAGCUGUACAUAAUAAGGAGGCACUUGCGUACGUACGGCUAUGGCCCUAGUGGGUCCCUAGUGUCAUCCAGUCAAAAUAAAGUCAUCUCCUGAAUCCUCAUGUUUGUUGACGAUGUUAACAAUGCUCGGCGCCACGGCGAGCGCAACAACUCGAAGGACAACGGAGAGGGCCUCGCGGGCCCUACGGAUGGUAUGAUACAGCGCCCGCUGCUCAUUCAGGAAGCCAGGAUCAUCGGACACCUAUGAACACCUUCGAGAAAGUGAGACGGCAUGAAACGGUAAGGCCGCGCUUGGGAGCUCUGAUUUAUUUCAAACCUGUAUUAACAUACAAGUGUAAUUUACUCGUCAUCGGAAACAACACGUAAAAUAUAGGCGUAAUGAAACCGAGGGCCCGAGGUCUGUAAGUAAAACCGGCGGGUUACAUGUGUAAUUUGAGAGACCAGUGUAUAUUUUACGAGCACUGCUAUAUGGACGACAUUAACAGACAAUACAUGCACGACGUGCGUAUCAUGCAAUCCAUGGGCAAGGCUAAAAUAGCAGCUAACGGCUGGAUUAGCAAUCGUCCGAGUGUCGUUCAGCGUUUUUAUCGUGUGUGAAGUACUUCCAAUAUUUCACUAGUCAAAAUCGACCAACCAAGCGCCUUCGCCCGAGACCAUCUGCUUUAAUUCACAAGCGUCAAUUUUACAGGCGGUUUUGGUUGGAAAACGAUGAUCCAAUCACGGCCUAAUAUCAUGAGUUGGUCAUAAGAUCAUAUGGUUUCACGUCUAACCUACCCGACUUGUUGUAUAGGCUAUGAAUGAAACAUCAGACAAUGAACUUCUUAAGCACGGAAACAACAGAAGAGGAUGAUCUUCUUAACAAGCAAAUCACUGGCAUUAGAUUGACAUGCAAAACAAUACGAAGCAUUAUUAUCAGGAGGCACGGUGAACAGCUCGUGAUGCCGCAUGCCACAACAUUCCAAGCUCAACUUUGCAAUCAAACACAAGGCCUGACAUUACAUAGACAAUAUUCAGAACAAACUCUUAACACAGGAAUAUCUCAGCAGAGUAACUAUUUACUUCUAAAUUGAACACAGGAAUAGGAAAAAACACUCGACGCUCCUCACAGCAAGGGCGUCCCACUCAAAAAUAUCAAAUGCAUGUCUUCUGGCUAACAUCAAUGAGCAAAUUUUGACAAGGUUUUCAAAUUCCAAUAUAUUAAACUAACGUCUUCUUGCUAACAUAAAUGAUUAAACUUUGACAAUCUUUUGCCAUUCAAAAUAUGUAAUGCCUAUGAUCAUGGAGUCCUGUCGUAGCUUCUUGUACUUGUUUGGGCACUUUUUGCCCAGGGCACUCCACGUGUUGUUAAAUUGCCAAUGGUCUCUGUAGACUAGUCAUGUCACCGGUGUAUAAUAAUACUCUAUAAAGCUUCUCGGUCAUUCCUUCUUUAAUGUAGCACGAACAGUGACUGCUUCUUUCUGCAAAGUGGAACAACCAACUAGAUCCAGUAAUGCAGCAGUUUGCCUUAAACAUUGGCUCCUUUUGUGCAGUUCAACUAAAAUCAAAGUCGGAAUAAAACCGAGCUUUAAUUUUGAUAUCCAUGUAAGCAACAAUAGGUAUAAGGGAAACAAUUAUUGAGAAAUAACGGUUGAUGACUUGUACUCCCAGAAGAAAAGCAUCUACUGAUCUACUUUAUCUUAAUGGGAAACAAAGCAAGAGAGUAGCAAUUCUCCAUCAGUGUGAUUCAUUCAUAUUGACUAAGACAUUAUCUUAACAAUGCCUUGUUUCAACAUGUAUAAAGAAUGACAAAGCAGAAAAGUACCAUUCCUAAAACAAUGCAACUGAUUCAUUUUAACAGAGACAUUAUCUUAACAAUACCUUGGUUAAACAUGUAGAAAGAACUACAAAGCAGGAUAGUACCAUUCCUAACAAGUGUUGCAGUUUUGAACUAAGAUUCAGUAGUUAAUUAAUUCUGAGAGUGGCAUUGCUUAAUUUUACCAGCGGCAUUAGAUUAACACAAAGCAUAAACAGUUCCAAGGGAGAGUGGGCGCAACAACAGUAUGUGCUUCCAUCUACUUAUAAAGGGGGUGAUGCAGAGUUUGUUGUAACAAAGCAACAAGCAUCAUGUCUGGGUUGGUCCCAUUUUUGUUCACUACUUAAUGGGAAAAGACAGCAAUACAAUAGCUUCAAUUCAACAUUUAUUUAAAACAGUACCAAUACAAGUAGCACAACAUCUCAAAGCACACUGCACAAUCAUGUGGAUGAAGGCCUGUACUGACCUUUCAUGAGACGGACAAGAUAAAAUACGAAUCUGCCAACACGAAUAGGAAAUCCAAUCUUGUUUUUGUAGUUGCACUGAAAUCAAGCAAAGUGUUUCGCGUAGCGAAGCAAAAUGUCGCAAUAGCAGCAAGUUGAAUAGAUAUACCUGUUUAGACAGGGGCAAAAAAAGGAAUCAAUUACUGGCUAAUAAAGGAGGAUGAAACAUGCGGCCACAAAAAUGGUAAUCCCGCCAAUCCCUAACAAGUGUUGCAGUUUUGAAAUAAGAUUCAGUAGUUAAUUCUGAGAGUGGCAUGAAUUACUGGCUUAUAAAGGGGGUGAUGCUGAAUUUGUUGUAACAAAGCAACAAGCAUCAUGUCUAGGUUGGUCCCAUUUUUGUUCACUACUUAAUGGGAAAAGACAGCAAUACAAUAGCUUCAAUUCAACAUUUAUUUAAAAUAGUGCCAAAACAAGUAGCACAACAUCUCAAAGGACACUGCACAACAUGUGGUUGAGACCAAGAUUUGAAACAACUCGCCACGAAGACUGGAAACAAAUUUCGAUCUCCUUUUGUGCAGUUCCACGAAAAUUAAGCAAAGUCACCGGUGUGACAUUCAAGUUGAACUGCACAAAACACUCUUAAAACAUAAGUGUUUCGAGUAGCGAAGCAAAAUGUCGCAAUAGCAACAAGUUGAAUCGAUACCCCUAUUUUAACAGAAGCAAAAAAGGAAACAAUUACUUGUCGAUAAAGGAGGAUGAAACAAACGGUGACAGAAAGAAGCAUCUAACUUAUCUUGGAUGGAAAACAAAGUAGGACAGUAGCAUUUCUAAAACGGUUGCAUUGAUUCAUAUUAACCGAGACAUUCUCUUGAAACAACAUUCGUUAAAAAUGUAAUUUACUUUUAACAGUGGCAUUGCUUCAAUUUUCCGGCGGCAUUCUUAGAUUAACAACAGCAAAAUAGCUGUAUGGGACAUGCCAGCACCAUGUGCGUCCACACGUAUAAAUGGGUGAUACAGAGUAUGUAGCCAACCAGCAUAUAUGCGCUGGUCCCAUAUUUGUUCUCUUUGAACCUUCUUCCUAUGUGAGGGCAGCAAAUCUAGUCCUGCACAAACUACCCGACCCCCCAGUUUCUUUCCCUUUUCAACAAAGAGAUCGGUUCCUUACAGAUGUGUGUACUGGGUUGCCCCCUUUUCCCCUUUUUGACCUACAAAGCGGCUGGAUAGCCAGUCUAUACUACUUUCCGCCCCUCCUUUCCUCAUUGAACCACGUCCUAGAUUCUUGCUCCAGCCCACCGCACCCUUCUUUCCUCUUUGAACCAAGAACUAGAUUCGACUACAGAUCGAAAACGAUCCUUUCAAAGAAACUUAUACCUUAGGGUCGUCGGGAUGUGGCAAGGCGUGCGGCGGGAGGCCGGAUCUGCCCACACUACGUACGGCAGCGAGGAAGAAGGGGUCGGUGGCCCUCCUACACAGGCGCUGGGUGAAAGAGAACAGCACAGCCGGUAGUGGAUUGCCUCCCUUGCCGAAGGCGAUAGAGUGAACGCUGCACCUCCUCCCCUUCCUGUUGCGACGAGAUACAGACGCCUCCUUCACCAGCUGUGAGGGGGGGGAGAGAGACAAGAGGCCAACGCAGUCUUGUUUAGAUCUGGUGAAGAGAGGGUGAGAGACUGUGAAUAUAGCAAACCCUAGCAAAUGAACGCUGAGCCUCCAGCGUGUAACAUAUAUGUAGUGCGGCGAGUGUGUGGAGAGUGCAAACCCUAGCGAACAAGCGCUGAGGCUCCCGCUUAUAUAUAUACUACUGUAGUACAGACUGAGCUCCGGUGCCUUCACUGCACCUACUUACAUACUACUGUAGUUUACGUAAAAUUCCAUUUCCAUCUCCAUCUCCAAUUAUAUUUGUCCAACUGGCACAUUAUUUACAUUGUUAAUUAUAUACGCAGCAAUAUUAACGUACAACAUCUCUUGUUUGCGCACGUCCGGAGCGCUGCCACGGUCGGUCCUGACCAACCCGAACCCUCUUCAUCACCCACGCGUGCUUCCCGCCCGAAAUGGUCAGUGCCGCAUUCAUGCCCGGCCAGAGCGGACGCGACCUCUCGCUGGUGCCGGCAUUGAAGCGGCGCGCCGGUCGAGAGAGCGUCGCCCGCACCGCUUCUGGGUGCACACGGCUGCUCCGCGUUCAAAGGUCGCAAUAGCCGGCUACAACAUGCAUGUAAAAAUUUCUUGGGAGUCCGUGCUACAGCUAGCUGUCCUCCCCCAACUCGUCAAUCUCUUCCAGUAGUGCUAGUACUCCAUGGUGCGAUCCAUCGACAAGCAGGAGGGAAAGUUAUCGUAUACUCGGUUUGUGGUGAGUGGCAUGCCGAGCGACCGUGUGGGGUCGAGCCGUGGAGGAGGGUGAGAACGAACACGACAGACGUGAUUUAAACGUUGGUUUUGCUUGAUGGCGCGAUCCAACGAAACGAAACAUUGGUUUCUCUCCGUUUCCAUUUUUUCUCCGAAAAAACGGAAACUUUCCACUCCAUUUUAAUUCCUGUUCCAAGGUUUCCCCGUUACAACAUUCCAUCAAAUACAAAGGAAAACUAACACGCAUGCUGAUGCAUCUCAAUGAUUCACAGAUCAUAGCCAAUAUUUACUUCACAACUAAAGAAAAAAGUUGUGAGAGCAUGUACGAAAGAAAAACUACUGAUGGGGUCAAUACGACUUAAACCCUAAACCCUAAACAUGAUUUAAUUUCCUGGCCAGGUAGAACCUGUCGAAGGAAAGACAGCUGGCACCCUCGGAUCAUACGAUGCUUUUGUGCAGUUCCACUAAAAUCGACCUGAGCAUCCCUGAUGGCAAAGAUAUUGAAGAAGUGUGAUUAGAAUAAUAGUACUGGCACUAGUUCAUGAGACAUAAACUCAUCACAAGUAGAAGCCGGUAGAAGUAGAGAAAGAUCGACAUGGAGAUGGAGCUACGGCAGUGGAGCAAGCCGGCUCCAAAAGGAAGAUGGACUACCUGGGACGUCGGGCUAUAGCUAGAAGGGCGGUUGGGACGAGGCAUCAGCCCAUACUGCGGUGACCCCCGAUUGGGACACACCGACUGUGGGUUUUCUCCCUUGCCGAUGUCGACCGCGUCUAUGUAGAACAUUGUUCCCUUCCCCCAGCUGCGGGAUCAAGCCAGUCGUUCUAUGCUUGUGAAGAGAGCAACCUGAGCAAGCAGGCUUGUAGCUUAGGCUCCUGCUAGUGUAUAUAUAGUGGUUUUCUUUUUCUCUCCAUAUCAACCAUUUUAUAUUGUGUACAUGUCAUUCAAGAGUGAAAUGAUGAUUGCUUCUUCCGACUAACUUACUGUGUGAUUUGACUGCUCCUUAGUGGCCCCUAACACGUACUCCCCCUACGUGUAUGCAACAGUCACACGUACACAUGGACGCAAAAACGCGCGCGAUGCCCUAAUGCAUGCAUGUCCGAGCACACGACGGAACACACACGGUCACGCUCAAGUGCUCAACCUACACGUGCAUGCACACACAUACUCAGUCAGGGUGAGAUAGUGACCGUAUAAACACCGGAAAAUAUAUAUAUUGAGCGCAAUGAGCGUAUUAUGAAGUCCACUGACCGUAUUUUUACAAAUAAACAGUGACAGAUAGUGUAUUUAUCUCGUUUGAAAUUAAGCCAUAUUAACCGGAGAGGAGGCAGUAUGGACUAGCAUUACUUUGUUGUGUCCCAUCAACUUGCCGAACGAGGAGAAGGUUGCAGGACGGGAGAAGCUUGCGCGCAGUGGCUCGCAGGACAAGGCGAAACUUUUGACUAAUGCAAGCUCUCGCUCGCUCAGGCGGUGGACGUGCAACAGUUAAUUCGGUGUCAGAUUGCCAGAAGCAUACACUAUACUACUAGUGCUAUUAUUGUUCGACUUCCCGAAUAGGCGAACAGCCAAGCGCAAAGUUUACUAGUACUACUACUAUAGUCUAUAAAGGUACGUACUAUACUAGUACUGGGAACCGGAUGGAGGAGCGUCUGCACUCUUAUUAUAAUUUUAAAAUGUGAUAAAGCAAUCUUCAACACAUUUGGUUCUCUUCAAGGGUUCUCGCAUGUGAUAAUGGAAGUUGAUUGCAUAGAACACUCACCACAAUUCUCGCUUAAUUCUAGCUCAUAUCCUGUUACAAAUAGUAGCGCUCGGUAAUAUUUCCUCUUUUUUGUUGUUCAGCAUGUAAACAUGUCAGCAAACCUUGCGGUGCAUCUUCGUGCGAACCGUGCUUGCUGCACUUUGAAUGUGGCCGAGAGUUGGCUUGAUGAAACACCUCGCUUCCUACUUCUUUUUUUGCGGGGUACCUCACUUCCUAGUGACCAGUGUCUUGGCUGAUCGUCCUAAGAAUGCUUAUAUAUGAAUAAAGCUCUCUCAUUUACCCACAAAAAAGAUUAAGCCAUAUUAACCGGAAAGGAGGGAGUAUGGACUAGCACUACUUUUUGGUGUGUCCCGUCAACUCGCAGAACAAGGAGAAGCUUGCAGGACAAGGUGAAGCUCGCUUAUGCCUUUUGACUAAUGCAACCUACCCUCGGUGGACAUGCAUCAGUCCAUUCGGUGUCAGAUUGUCAGAGCAUACACUGCAAUACCCAACAUGCGGAGUACCAUCAUUGUUUGACUUCACGAAGAGGCGAAGAGCCAAGCGCAGUAGUACGAGUAGUACUACUACUAGAACCGCAUGGUGGAGCGUCUGUACUCUUUUUUAUCUCUGAUAAAGUACACGUUUAUUCCGGAGAAGGGCGGAAAAUGGUAGCCCAACAUGUAAUGAAUGAUAUCGAUCAACCAACCAUGCUCGAAUAUAUCUUGGCCUCCGUGCGAGCCCGUCUGUGUGUUCUUGCUCCUCGUCUCUCUCAAGGAACGGCGGGUUGGCUCUUUGUCGUCAAUUGAGAUCGGUUUGCUCACACUCCUAUCCCACAUGUCAGUCAUAUGCCAAGAGGAGGUGCAUUGACCGACUAGCCAUACGCGUACUUGGUUUUGCACCUUCAUACUACUCCUCCCUCUGUCACAGUUUACAAUGCAUUUCCACCACCAGAGAGACUUUAGACACGUUUGGUUUAAUGCUCAAUUAAUUAGGGCGUGGUAACCGCAAUCAAGUCCACAAUUUUCUCUCCAUGUACUGUACUACUACGGAGUGGAGUAAGUGCAUGCAUGUGUGUACCCGGGGUGGAAGCACUAUAUGCAUGUGUGUACGCAUUAUUCCCUCUAAUAAUAGACGCCGUGCUAUAACUACCAAUGCUAUUUUUGCAGGCCGAUCGCUAGUCGCCUUGGUCCCACAGAUUUUUUAUCUUUUUUCUGAAGUGUGCUGUAUAAACAGUGACGGAUGGAGUAGUAUGAGCGGAUUCAAAGAAGAGCGUAUUGAUGGUUGCUUCUUCAGAGCAACUUACAGUGGGAAAGGUGGGGCUUAUGAUUUGACUGCUCAUUACUCACUAUUAAUGCGGCGCAACGACUGGGCUGAGUCUCCCAAGCGGUUGUGCACUACCCCCUCGGUUCUUAAAUAUACUCCGGAGUAUUUUUUUUCUAGAGAUUUCAACGAGUGACUACUCAAAUAUUAGUCUUUUUAGAGAUUUCAAAUGGACUGGCACAUACGGAUGUAUAUAGACAUAUUUUAGAGUGUAGAUUCACUCAUUUUGCUCCAUAUGUAGUCACUUGUUGAAAUAUCUAGAAAGACGAAUAGAAUAUUUAGGAACGGAGGGAGUACACAUAUGAAGCAAAAUGAGUGAAUCUACACUCUAAAAUAUGCCCUUUGAAAUUUGUAAAAAGACAAGUAUUUAGGAACGAAGGAGUAUAAUUUUGUGCAUGGCACAUGGACCCGGAUGAUGAAGAGGCUUCUGGCAAUACUGUCAAGCUUCCAUCAUUUGUUUACAUAAUUGAUGUACUAUACAAAUAAUUUUCCAGCGACAAGAAAUUGUACAAUGGUGUGAGCUUUCAGCUUUUGUUUCACGUGUCUUGCCAUCGAUGCUCUUUCGGAAAUAAUAAAAAAACUAACUUCCUUGCUAAUGCAUGUCAAUUAUUAGCAGAUCAGAGCUAAUAAUUACAUCACAACUGAAGACAGAGUUGUGAGAAGGUGUUAAAUUAAAAUUGAUCCAUGCUUUCAUUGGCAGCAAUGUCCCCCCAACUCUGUCUAAAUCAACAAGGCAUGUUGGAAAAAAAAUAGUUGUCUGGAGCACGCAACAUUCCGAUCAUUUUGUGCAGUUCCACUAAAAUAGAGCUCAGCGUCCCUGUUCCAAAGAUAUUAAGUGUGAUUACGAUAAUAGAGGACUGCUGAUGAAACAAUAAACACACAAAUAGAAGCCGGUCACCUUUGCAGUCUCUCUUAAGACUAACUAGUUGGAGAAGAUUAGGCUCGGAGUUGGAUGAGGAGGAUAGAGCAAAACCAAUCUCCCUUUGUGCAGUCGCACUGAAAUGUAGAGACGUUGCCCGUGUGACAUUUUAGUACAACUGCACAAAACACUCUUAAGAAAAAAGUGAUUUGUGCAGUUCACCAAAAGGUCGCAAUAGCAACGAGGUGAAAUGGAUAGCCCUGUUGCCAAAAAGAGGUAGAAAGGAAAAAAUUACUGGCCAAUAACAGUUGAUGACACAUGCGACGACAAAAAAGAAGCAUAUUCCUUGUCCUAAGGGAAGAUAACAACACGGUUGUGUUUGUCUAAAACGGUGUGAGGAUGAGAAUGCAAUAUGGAAAGUACGCCGGACGAGCUAGUUUUGGGCAAAGAACUAUGGAAGAUCCACAUGCAGCGACGUGGGAAGACGGGCAGUGGAGCAAGGCCGGAGGGGAUACCUAGAGGUCGUCGAGACGUAACUAGGUCAGCGGCAGCGGGCAGAAUCUGCGAGUAGGUGGCGUAGGCCCUGCCGCACCGGAGCUUGGUCAGAGAGAACGGCGUGUACCGCAGAUCGGGACGUGCUGCCUCGGCGCUAUCGAAUGGAGAAACGAUGCACUUCCUCCCUUUCCCCCGGCGGACGGGAUGCGUCCGGAUCAGUGACCAACUGUGAGAGAGAGAGAGGCCACCGCACUCCCUUUCCCCCGGCGGACGGGAUGCGGCCGGAUCAGUGACCAAGGGUGAGAGAGAGAGAGGCCACCGCAGCCUUGUGUGAGAUACUCUGAAGAGCGACAAACCAGGCAGGCAUGCUCCAUUGUAUAUAGUGAGCGGACUACCUUUUUCUCCAUAAAAAUCAUUUUAUAUUCUGUGUACGUGCCAUUGAGCGCUAUAACUUUAUUUAAAAAUAACGCAACAACGCGUCAAGUCAAACUUUGUUUCGUGCACGCGCGGUACACGACCUCCCUAGGUAAACCACCACUACAGGCAUUCAAAUUAGCACGUGGGCUGCCAUUUCGUAAAGAAAUGAGCUCCACCAUGUACCCGCGCGGGUGUGGCUGGGCACGAAGCAUGAGUACGUGCACGGUGCACCUAUUCUCUUCUUGUAUACAUACACCACCUACGUGGGGUUGUCUGAGAGAGAUACAAACCUAGAGAGAUAUAGUGUGUGGGUUCUUGAGAGUUUUUUUUGGGGGGGUCAAUCAAAAAAUGUAACAUAUGCAAUGUGUGUGAAAUAGAGUCCUGGAUAUAACAUAUAUAUAGAGGGGGCGAUCCACGAGAAGAGAGUGGAGGUAUCAUCGGCUUGAGGUGUCCAUAGAAUCGAAGAGAGGGAUGAUGUGUGUGUGUGUGCGCGCGUGAUCGAUAAAGAGUGCCAUCGAAUUUGUGUGUGCCCACGUCAAAGAUAUAGAGUGGCUGGCCUACUGGAACGUGAGAUGGGACAUGUGCAGUUUGUCUCUGUGGCAGGGAUACCUACCUGCAGCGCUCGACUAUCGAUGUGUGGUGGGGGAAGAGGGAGGCCCAAUUAACUAUAGAGGUACAAUGGCUGGUAUAUGUGUGGAGGAGGAGAGAGGCCUACCUCAUGUAUUAAGGGGAUCGAUCUGCCUCAUGUAUUAAGGGAGAUCGAUCGGCAUCCAUGCAUAUGUGCAGGAGAGGAAUAAGGUUGGGAGAGAGACAGAGCUAGAGUGUUGGAGGGGGUGGUAGUGGAGUUGCUUCUAACAAAUGGUGGGAUAGGCUUGCUAGACAAACGGAGGGCACGCCUGCAAUAUCAAUAAGAGAGGAGAUGGCUGCUUGUUGUCUGUGCACAUGCGUGUGAGAGACGGGUCAGGAGGCAUGCACGAAUGAUGAGGGGGGCGAUGUGGCUGUGGUAAGAAGACGUAACUACAUAGGAAGAUCAAUCGCCCUUUGUUAGAGAAAGGAGAGACAUAACUUGUGAGGUACGUCGAUCGAUGGGGGGUAGUUAAAGUCAAUCUAGGUAUAUGUUGGGAGAUCGAUCGGUAUACAUGCAUGUGUGUGUUAGAAGCAAAUGAGGCACGAGGAGAAGGAUAGAGAGAUAGGGAUGCAUGUAGGAGGUGGUACGAGAGGCAUACUAUAUCGAGGGGGGAGGAGUGUGCGAGUACGAGAACGAUGAAAAGAGUGGUGGGAGUGAGGCAUGGACGAUGACAAGAGAAGAGGGGAAGCUUGUGUUUGUGCUAGGCACACCUGGCUAGAGAAGCAUAUCGAUCGAUGUGUGCCGUAAAGAAGGAGCUGGGGGGCCUACACACACCGUGGGUGAACGACCUAAUGUGAAAAGACGAAUUUGCGUGAUGGAGCUAGAGAAUGUUGAAGGAGGGUGAGAGGGAUGCGGGUGUGUGCAUGCACAAGAGAAAGUUAGCGCUAGCUACAAAGAUAAGAGGGUUGUGUGGGUGUAAAAGACGAAUAGAGAUCAUAUAUACUUCAUUAUAAAAAGCGAAUUCGGAUAUUUGAAGAAUUUAUCAUAGUGUUUCAAACCGAUGCAUGUGUGAAUAUAUAUAAUGGUGAUACACAUGGUGUGCUUAUGAACAUGUUACACUACAUUUAAUAUAUUUUAUCUCUACUCUUAUAAAAAACAGAGUUGUUGAUGAUGGUGUGCCUGCCAUCCUGCAUUAUAGGCCGUCCGAUUUAUAUCUGGCGAAUAGCAAGGAAACUAUGAUGGUUGAAUUUGGCAAAAAUCAUGAUUGUAGAUUCUUAUUGAAAUAGAGAAACGAAUUCAAAUUUAGUUCGAAUUGUAGCGGUAGUAUAGACAUUUGGAAUACACUAAAAUGUUGGUAUGAGUAGGUUACAUGCAUUAUACAGCAAGCGAAAAAUUUUAAUCGGACAUAACAUGGAUUCAUACUCCCUCCUUCCAUCUAUAUAGGGCGUAAUGAGAUUUUUAAGACCGCCUUUGACUAUUGACAAGAUUAAUAGUACAUGACAUGCACAAUGUGAAAAUUAUAUCAUUGAAAGAACCUUUCACAUACGAAUUUAACGGUGUGCUUUGUGUAAGUUGCAUGUCAUAUAUCAUUGCUCUAAUAUUUGGUUAAAGUUAGCAUCAAAAAACGCAUUAGGCCCAAUAUAGAUGGAAGGAGGGAGUAGCUUUGAAUAUCAUUUGUAUAGUAAAACGGGGCAAGACUCUCUCUUUGUGUGGUGUGAAUAGUUUUAUUUUUUCGUUUUCUUUUUGGUUGAGGGAAGUGUGAAUUGAUUUGGUACGUACAAGUACAAUAUUACUACACGUUAGGCUUGUCCCUAAAAUUCAACCCGCGUCUUGUUAUAUCCCGAAAAUUCAGAUAUCGUGCUCCCAAAACUGGUGCCUUCACAACCCGCGCCUUGCUAUCCCGAAAUUACAACGCGCGCGAAAACUCCCUCCAGCUACCAAAUCCCGACCCCGAAAUCCCCCUUCUAACCCUGAGCCGAAAGGGCCGCUAGUUCAAAUCGGUGGGGGGUACUUUUGUAACACACCCUACAUUUUGGACAAGCGCGUCCCUAAGUCAUGCUUCACCCCCUCCCAUCGCCCCCUUUUCGCCAUUCGAAAUCCCAAGCCGCCAUAACCUCUCCGCUCCAGCAGCGAAACCCCACCCUCCUUCGUCCGCCAUGUCACAGUUGCCCAGCCGGAGCCUCUUCCCCGACGACGUCGUCCACUGCAACAGCUCGACGUACCUCGUCCACCUCCCCUGAUGAGGAUCCGUCGUCCAUCUCGCCGUCCCGCCGAUUCAGCCGCCCCGUCCUCCACCUCCAAGGAGCUGCUCCGACGAUCGCCUCGUCUAUCGCGGCUGCUCCAUCCCCACAGCGCCGCCUUAACCUGCUCCACCGGAACCGCAGCAUCCUCCCCGACUCCUCGGACGAAGCCGAGGCCUACUUGGCGCCACCAAAGAGGUUGUACACUCAUCGCAUCGCACCUUCUCCUUAACUCGGCCUCCCGGCGCCGACGGUGCUCCAUCCCGCACCCCCAUGGAGCGGCUACCUUGAAGCCGGCGCUGCGGACGACAUCUCCAGGGCGGCUCUCCCCCAGUGCGAGGCCCCUUCGGUGGCGGCGUCCAUACCAGCCAGAUCUGCUGCUGCUGCUCGCUCACUCGCGCUGCUGCUGCUGCUGCUCCGGCUCUUGCUCGAUCGCUCGCUCGCCCAGCUGCUGCUGCUGCUCUCCCCCUUGCUCGUGCGGCUGCUCUGCUCCAAUUAAGCCACACUUCAGUCGACCGAAUUGACUUUUGGGUCAGUCGAUUUCCAGGGGUUGGGGGGGCUCGCCGGAGUUAAGGAAGAACCACCCGCGGCGGGGACGGGGGCUCGCCGGAGAGGUACCCCACUAUCUAUCUUAGGGUUCAAGGUGGGGGCGGGGGCCUAGAGGGAUGGCUGGGGCGGCGGUGGUGAAUUGUUUCGGGGCGGCGAGGCGGCGCUGGGGCCGGCGGUUCGGCCAGUGGUGGCUGGCGGCUCAGGGGGGUGCAUGUUGAAGAUGAACUGCAGGCCCUCCCUAAACUACAUGUCAAGUGCCUCUCUGCUACCAUUGCGUUCAGUUUCGACAGUGGCAUUCAGAUUCCACAGUAAAUUUCAGUUUUGACGGUUAAGUUCAGAGUCAACAGUUUUUACCUCAUCUGUUGUAGUCGGGUGGUUUUUGGUGAUGUUAACUUUACAACCAUUUUACAUCAUCUAUUGGAGAUGCUAUUAGAAUCCCACUUGAGAUGGACGAUGUCUGUCUUGUGCUGCUUCAGCCUUGACGUCUUACGGCUCACCGGAGCUACUCCAACCACAAAACGAUCCAUCACAAUAGAGCAGUGCCCUGGACGCCGUCUACAGAUUCCUCAGAUCUUCCUCCACACCUCCGACAGCCACCUCUGCCUCAACUGCUUCAGCGACCAACCCAAUGAUGUUGAGGUCGACAUGGCUACGGCAAAGAGGUUGUACACUUGUUGCAUCACUUAUUACUAUACAUUCACGUCGAUCCAUUAGGGCUAUUUUGGUUCAACGGAAAAACGUUGAUCCACUGGUUGUUACCAUCACUCUAAAUUUCUACAUGCUCUCCUUACAUAAUCUCACCAUAUUUUUUCGUAUGCAUGUCAGAUAUUGUACACAAUCAUGCUGAACAUGUAGAGAAAAAGAGAAGAGUUUUGCACGGAAAUACAAUGUCAUGCAGACAUCGCUCCAUGGUGGGUUCAAUGACAAACCCUCCCCACCCCUCUCCAGAUUGUAAUCCAGAGGAAGAUAUCUAUUCUGAGGCGGAUUCAGAUGCCGCUGACCACUCCUAUUUACCCCCCAAGGUAUUUGCUCUACCUUGGCAUGAUGAUGUUAGUCAUAUCAUGCAUAUGUUGCCUUGCAGUGCCUACUUUUGACAUCAUAUAUGUCAUCUGCUUAGUUUAGACAUGUUCUGUAAUGCCACCUGUUUAGUUUCUAUAUCAUAUAUGGGAAUUAUGCAGUCUCAUGUCUUUUAGCCAGCCAUAAUAUAUGUGAAAUGUGCAAUGCCAUCCUGUUUAACCAAGCAUCAUAUAUUUGAAUGAUAUCUUGCCCAUCCUUUUCUUCAUUACAUUUCCAUUUGUCGACAAUGUUUGUACAUUAAACUACUCUUCCCGUGAAUCAGCCAUUUGGGUGGGAGAUGGAAAAUCUGGAGUGAAAACAAGGCCUUCAGAGCAGACAGUGCUACCUGUCGAAGCAGAUCUCUUGUUGGGUCCCGAUAGCUCCUCGGAGAUGGAUUCAGAGACAGAUGAUCAGUCCUAUUCCCCCACUAAGGUGUAUGCUCUAACUUGGCACGGUUAUACUGCUCAUAUCAUGCAUACGGUGUCUUGCAUUGCAUAGUUUAGACAUCAUAUACACAAUAUUCAACACCAUGUUGUUAGUUCAGACAUCAUAUCGAAUGCCCUCUGUUUAGCAUAUAAAUCACAUAUGUGAAUUAAAUGAUGCGAUCCUGAUUACUUAGAUAACAUGUAGGUGAAUUAUGUCAUGUGAUCCUGUUUAGUUAUUCAUCAUAUCUUUGAAUUAUGUUGUGCUAUGCUAUCCAGUUUAGAUAGACAUCAUAUAUGUGAAAUUAUGUCAUGCUAUCCGUUUUAGUUAAACAAUAUACAUGUCAACUAUUUCAUGCCCUCUUUUUUCCACACUAUCUAUUGCAUCUGUCUCUCAUACAAUGUCUGUACAUUCAACUAUGUUUCCUGUUUAUCAGCCAUUUGAAUUGGACCGGGUGAUGCCAGUAUCUAGCAGACUAAAAACACGGUCUUCAAAUAAAACAGUGCUACCUCUUGGUGGAGAUAGCACCCCGGUUGUACAUGCACAAGAACCAGCCCUACCACACAUAACCCAAACUCUCACAGAUUGUACCCCUACUGCGAUGGACAGAGAACUAGCUUCACCCAAUCUAACCCCAACCCCAGCCGAUAGUAACCCAGUUCCUGUUGACACAGCACCAUCUCCACCACAGAGCUCCCAAACAAGAGCAGUUAGUAAGGCAGCUCCAGUGCCCAAAGGGCCAGUACUAUCACGGCGAACCCCAACUCCACCAGUUAGUACGCCUAUUCCUGUGGAGGAAGCACAACCAGCUAGUCGUAGUUUAGCAUCUUUCGCAUUUGAUGUUGUUAAAUCGUAUGUGUGUAUCUUCCCAUCUUGGAAAUAUUAUACUGAAGAUGAAGGAAAAUGUCAGUUGCAGGUGUUUGUCCAGGAGUUAUGUGUAAGUAAUGUUAUUCAUGGCAAUUACUUUGCUUCGUCCCAUACAUCCUACCUCCAUGAUGGUUAUAAUACAGCAAAUUUUCCCAUUUUUCUCUAUAGAGAAGGACCAAUUUGGAAACUCAGGAUGAGGUAACCUGUGCUAAUACCUCUGCUAUCUUCAAGAAUGCUUGAUGGAAGUAUCGGAAUUACCUAAACAAAACGUACUUCACCGGCAAAGAAACUCAUCAAAUUCCCUUACGUUCUCCUGAGACACAUUUACUGGAUGAUGACUGGGAACGUCUUGUUCUAUACUGGUCCCGAACCAAGAAUGUGGUAAGGUCUAUGAGCUCAUUUUCUAUUUUUAAGUAUUAUAUUCUUGCGUCUUACUGUACUCUGUUCAUGUAGAACAAGUGCCUAAACCUGAAGAACAACUGUUCUAAUUUAAGAUUCCAUUGCUAUCAUAGUUCAAAAAAGCGCUAGGCGUUAAUUGUGCGUUUUGCCACCGCCUUGCGCUUUACUGACCAAAGUGCAUGCAUAUGUGCAGUUAUGCACAGAUUAUGUGUAGUUAUGCGCAAUGCGUUUUGCCAACGCCUAGAGCCUAGGCGCGCUUAAGCGCUCGCUUAGGCGCGCCUUUUUUUAACUAUGAUUGCUUUGCUCUUGUAUCACUGUAUUUACUCAUACAAACUUAUUUUUAAAUUGAAGGAUCCAAUUGAAACUCCAAUGGCACAGCAGGUAUGUUCACGCAUGUUUCUUUAAUAGGUUUGCUCUUAUCAAUAGCUCUGUUGAUUUCAAUUUCAAUUGUGUAUACAGUUGACUUUCAUAUAAUGCACAUUACUAGCAUCACAACAGAGCCAAUAGUGCCGUUGUACAUGUAGACCCGUGGUACCCAUCUGAAAUCUUGUUGUGUCGUGUAGUUUCCCACGCUUUGUAUUCUUUCACUGCUGCUUUGUCUUGAACUGAUAUGAUUUGAACCGUGUCUCUAUUUUGAUUUGGCAAGACAAUGCAGUGAUCAUAGGACAUAGAUAUAUGUUUAUUUGAUGCUUUUAUUAUGUACUAGUACUUGGCAAUAGAAGACUUGGUAGUUUAAUCCUGUCCACCUUACUAAUGAACUGGUUCACCAAAAUGAGUUUCAUAUACUAGUACGUGCUAAACUUGGUAUGUGUCUGCUUGUUUCUUCUUUUAGAAUGCUGACAGAAUAUUGGGGAAGAGUGCCUUAUUAAGCAAUGGUAAAGGAAGUAAUGCAGAUAAGGUUCAGGAUAGUGACACAUCUUUGUUGGUCUCCAACAAAGCUGAUAAAACAGCUAAGGAAGACUAUCUUGAAGACAGCGAGACAACCCCAAAGUCCUGUCUUGGUUUAGUGUUCGAGUUACUGGCCACUACCGCUUGCACAAGCUAUUCAAACUCGUUGUCUGAAUCAGUUCAGUUUCUUGAGUCUCAACUACAAGCUGAAAGACAUCGAUCAGCUGUGUUGCGACAAGAAGCGGAAGGACUGCAGAAGUCCUUGGAGCAUUCAGAUGCAUACUUUCUGGUGCAACAGCAAGCGUUGGAGGAUUUUAGCGCCAAAUAGGACAAAGCUAAUCAGCUUGCUAAGCUUAUUGCCAGCAUGGUGGAUACCCAGGAUAACGUUUCUUGAGCUCUUCUAAAGUUGUUUCAGUUAUGCUCUUGUUUUGCUCCCACGUUUAUUUGAACUGGUGGCCAAUUUUGACGGCCAGUGUAUGUAAUGUGCUGCUUUGUUCCCUAUAUUUGCACUGGUGGCGAACUUUGAUACCCAGUGGAUGUAAUAUGUGUAAUAGCGGUAAUAGGCUAGUGUUAAUUGCUUGCUUAUUUAUUUCCUUAUUGUCUUGUUUAGUUGUUUGUUUGUAGUCACUGCAGUUAUUUUUCUGUUUUUUCUAGUGGCCACAAUAGCCUAUUUUUGGUAACUAGGCCAAAAUAAUCAUGGCAACACACGGAAUAUUGUAACCAUGGGCCUCCUGCAGGCCGUAUGAUCCAUGGGCCUUCGUCCGGCCGUAGGAUCCAUCGGUCUUCUAUACGGGCCUUAGGGUCCAUGGGCCUUCUACGGGCCAUAGGGUCCAUGGGCCUUCUACGGGCCAUACGAUCCAUGGGCCUUCUACGGGUCGUACUAUCCAUGGGCCACAUACGGGCCGUAGGAUCCAUAGGCCUUCUACGGGGUGUAUCAUCAUUUCGCCAAUCAUGGGCCGUACUAUUCGUGGACCAUAAUGGGCCGUUAAUAGGCCGUAUUUGAUAACUCUAUGAAAACAGCCCAACGGGUUUUUUUAACAUGAAAAUGGCCCAAUGUAUUAACGGUCCGCAAAUGGGCCGACUAUAACGAUGGGCUGAAUUUGGCCCACAAGCAGAAAAUGACAGUAACGGGCCGUAUGUAACCGAAUGCUGCAAAUGAGCCUAAGAAUCAAUGGGCCCUGAGAAGGCCGAAAUAUAACUUGGGCUGGAAACGGCCCAAUGGAAUAACGGGCCAUUAAUGGAUAUGAGGUGAUACACUAUUCUUUACGGGCCAGAUUCACCACGGACCGUUAAUGGGCCAAGAGUUACAAAGGUCCUCAUAUGGGCCGAAAGAAGUCAUGGGCCACACAUGGGCCGGAAGUUAAAACGGGCUGAAUCAUAUUAGACGGCCUAGAUGACGCUACUGGGCCUAAUUCGGAUAAGGCGUAACGGGCCCUGGGUUAGCGAGUUGUAAAUGGGCUAUAUGCGAAUAGGCCGUUAACAGGCUUUCCGUGGGCCGGCCCUCCACCUUUUGACCAAGUCAAACGGGCCGGCCUUUUCAUAGGAAUGGGCCUCUAUUGGGCCGUGCCACGUGUCGCCGUAUCAUAGGCGCCUUCGGUCCAAUGAGCGGAUGACAUCUGUCCCAACGGUGAGCCGACACGUGUUUCCUCCAGCCAAUGAUGAUUUUACACGUGGAAAAUCCCCAUUGGUCGGGGUUGUUAGCGGGUUAUUGGAUCCAAAACCCGACCCGAUAGCUUAACGGUGUUCCGUUACGGUGGAUGCCACAUGUCGGUCACCCUUGACGAAAGCACUUCUGUGACGCGCGAUUUAUCGUCAUGGAAGUGGACACUUCCGUGAUGAUAAUUUUGGUAAUGUCAUGGAACACUUCUACGACAGCACAGGUAUGACUAUCUUGAUUCUGUCAUAAAAUCGUCAUGGAUGUACAUGCAUGACAAAAAACACGACCUACUCUGACAAACACGUAUCAUCACGGAAGUGUAUUUUUUUUGUAGUGAAGUCUGUUGCUCGCUCCAUUGUUCCGGAGAACGGCGUUUUUAGUCAUCUUUCCCAUGAGGCAUGGUUUGCAAGUACCAAGUGAUUCAUAAUCAAGUGAUUCCAGAAGUCCAUCAGUAUGGAGUUUCUUCAUGUGCUUUACACCAAUAUGACCCAAACGGCAGUGCCACAAAUAAGUUGCACUAUGAUUAUCAACUCUGCAUCUUUUGGCUUCAACAUUAUGAAUAUGUGUGUCACUACUAUCGAGAUUCAAAUAAAAUAGACCACUCUUCAAGGGUGCAUGACCAUAAAAGAUAUUACUCAUAUAAAUAGAACAACCAUUAUUCUCAGAUUUAAAUGAAUAACCGUCUCGCAUCAAACAAGAUCCAGAUAUAAUGUUCAUGCUUAACGCUGACACCAAAUAACAAUUAUUCAGGUCUAAAACUAACCCCGAAGGUAGAUGUAGAGGUAGCGUGCCGACGGCGAUCACAUCGACUUUGGAACCAUUUCCUACGUGCAUCGUCACCUCGUCCUUAGCCAGUCUUCGCUUAAUCCGUAGUCCCUAUUUCGAGUUGGAAAUAUUAGCAACAGAACCAGUAUCAAAUACCCAGGUGCUACUGUGAGCUCUAGUAAGGUACACAUCAAUAACAUGUAUAUCACAUAUACCUUUGUUCACCUUGCCAUCCUUCUUAUCCGCCAAAUACUUGGGGCAGUUACGCUUCCAGUGACCAGUCCCUUUGCAGUAGAAGCACUUAGUCUCAGGCUUAGGUCCAGACUUGGGUUUCUUCUCCUGAGCAGCAACUUGUUUGCUGUUCUUCUUGAAGUUCCCUUUCUUCUUCCCUUUACCCUUUUUCUUGAAACUGGUGGUCUUGUUGACCAUUAACACUUGAUGCUCCUUCUUGAUUUCUACCUCCGCAGCUUUUAGCAUUGCGAAGAGCUCGGGAAUCGUCUUAUCCAUCCCUUGCAUAUUAUAGUUCAUCACGAAGCUCUUGUAGCUUGGUGGCAGUGAUUGAAGAACUCUAUCAAUGACACUAUCAACCGGAAGAUUAACUCCCAGCUGAGUCAAGUGAUUAUGGUACCCAGACAUUCUGAGUAUAUGUCCACUGACGGAACUAUUCUCCUCCAUCUUGCAGCUGUAGAACUUAUUGGAGACUUCAUAUCUCUCAAUCUGGGCAUUUGCUUGAAAUAUUAACUUCAACUCCUGGAAUCUCAUAUGCUCCAUGAUGUUAAAAACAUCGUUGAAGUCCCGGUUCUAAGUCGUAAAGCAUGGCACACUGAACUAUUGAGUAGUCAUCAGCUUUGCUCUGCCAGACGUUCAUAACAUCUGGCAUUGCUCCUGUAGUGGGUUUGGCACCCAGCGGUGCUUCCACGACGUAAUUCUUCUAUGCAGCAACGAGGAUAAUCCUCAAGUUACGGACCCAGUCUAUGUAAUUGCUACCAUCAUCUUUCAACUUUGCUUUCUCAAGGAACGCAUUAAAAUUCAACGGAACAACAACACGGGCCAUCUAUCUACAAUAACAUAGACAAGCAAAAUACUACCAGGUACUAAGUUCAUGAUAAAUUUAAGUUCAAUUAAUCAUAUUACUUAAGAACUCCCACUUAGAUAGACAUCCCUCUAAUCAUCUAAGUGAUCACGUGAUCCAUAUCAACCAAACCAUAACCGAUCAUCACGUGAAAUGGAGUAGUUUUCAAUGGUGAACACCACUAUGUUGAUCAUAUCUACUAUAUGAUUCACGCUCGACCUUUCGGUCUAAGUGUUCCGAGGCCAUAUCUGCAUAUGCUAGGCUCGUCAAGUUUAACCCGAGUAUGCGUGUGUAAAACUGUCUUACACCCGUUGUAGAUGAACGUUGAGCUUAUCACACGCGAUCAUCACGUGGUGUCUCGGCGCGACGAACUUUGGCAACGGUGCAUACUCAGGGAGAACACUUUUACCUUGAAAUUUAGUGAGAGAUCAUCUUAUAAUGCUACUGUCAAACAAAGCAGAAUAAGAUGCAUAAAGGAUAAACAUCACAUGCAAUCAAUAUAAGUGAUAUGAUAUGGCCAUCAUCAUCUCGUGCCUUCGAUCUCCAUCUCCAAAGCACCGUCAUGAUCACCAUCGUCACCGGCGCGACACCUUGAUCUCCAUCGUAGCAUCGUUGUCGUCUCGCCAACUAUUGCUUCUAUGAUAUAACCGAGGUGGAUUAUGGUGGAGGGGGCACCCCACAUGACUAAGAGAUCAACAGAUCAAUUGUUGUGUCUCCAAGGGGUGCCCCCUCCCCGUAUAUAAAUGAGGGAGAGGAGGAGGGGCGGCCAAGGAGGAGGAGGCGCGCCCAAGGCGGGUAAUCCUACUCCAAGUAGGAUUCCCCCUCUUUCCUAGUCCUAGUAGGAGAGGGGAAGGAAGGGGAGGAGAAGAAGAAGGAAAGGGGGGCGGCCCCUAGUCCAAUUCGGUUUGGGCUAGGGGGGCUGCGCGCCCCUAGCUGGCCGCCUCUCCUCUUCCUCCACUUGGGCCCAUAAGGCCCAAUAACCCCCCGGGAGGUUCCGGUAACCUCCCGGUUCUCCGGUAUUUAUCCGAUAACCCCCGGAACUCAUCCGGUGUCCGAAUAUAACCUUCCAAUAUAUUGAUAUUUAUGUCUCGACCAUUUUGGGACUCCUCAUCAUGUCUGUGAUCAUAUUCGGGACUCCGAACUACCUUUGGUACAUCAAAACACAAAAACUCAUAAUACUGAUCGUCACAAAACUUGAAGCGUUCGGACCCUACGGGUUCGGGAACUAUGUAGACAUGACCGAGACACGUCUCCGGUCAAUAACCAAUAGUGGAACCUGGAUGCUCAUAUUGGUUCCUACAUAAUCUACGAAGAUCUUUAUCGGUCAAACCGCAUAACAACAUACGUUGUUCCCUUUGUCAUCGGUAUGUUACUUUCCCGAGAUUCGAUCGUCGGUAUCUCAAUACCUAGUUCAAUCUCGUUACCGGCAAGUAUCUUUACUCAUUACGUAAUGCAACAUCUCGCAACUAACUCAUUAGUCACAUUGCUUGCAAGGCUUAUAGUGAUGUGCAUUACCGAGAGGGCCCAGAGAUACCUCUUCGACAAUCGGAGUAACAAAUCCUAUUCUUGAUCUAUGCCAACUCCACGAACACCAUCGGAGACACAUGUAGAGCACCUUUAUAAUCACCCAGUUACGUAAUGCAAUAACCAAAGUCACUAAUAGCGGAGAACAAAAGAAGAGAUUAUGGUAGGGUACGAAACCACCUCAAAGUUAUCCUUUCUGAUCGAUCUAUUCAAGAGUCCAUAGUAAAAUAACAUGAAGCUAUUAUUUCCGUUCAAUCUAUCAUAGAGUUCGUACUAGAAUAACACCUUGAGACACAAAUCCACCAAAACCCUAAUGUCACCUAGAUACUCCAAUGUCACCUCAAGUAUCCAUGGGUAUGAUUAUAUGAUAUGCAUCACACAAUCUCAUAUUCAUCUAUUCGACCAACACAAAUAACUUCAAAGAGUGCCCUAAAGUUUCUAUCGGAGAGUCAAGACGAAAACGUGUGCCAACCCCUAUGCAUAAGUUCACGAGGUCACGAAACUCGCAAGUUGAUCAGCAAAACAUACAUCAAGUGGAUCACAUGAUAUCCCAUUGUCAGCACAGAUAAGCACGUGCAAGACAUACAUCAAGUGUUCUCAAAUCCUUGAAGACUCAAUCCGAUAAGAUAACUUCAAAGGGAAAACUCAAUUCAUCACAAGAGAGUAGAGGGGGAGAAACAUCGUAAGAUCCAACUAUAAUAGCAAAGCUCGUGAUACAUCAAGAUCGUACCACCUCAAGAACACGAGAGAGAGAGAGAGAGAGAGAGAGAGAGAGAUCAAACACAUAGCUACUGGUACAUACCCUCAGCCCCGAGCAUGGACUACUCCCUCCUCGUCAUGGAGAGCACGGGAUGAUGAAGAUGGCCACCGGAGAGGGAUUCCCCCCUCCGUCAGGAUGCCAGAACGGGUUUCGAUUGGUUUUCUCUGGCUACGGAGGCUUCUGGCGGCGGAACUCCCGAUCUAUUCUGUUCCCCGAUGUUUCUAGGGUAUAUUGAUAUAUAUAGGCGAAAGAAGUCGGUCAGGGGAGCCACGAGGGGCCCAUGAGGGUAGGGCGCGCCUCCCUACCUCGUGGCCACCUCGAAGCUUCCCUGACGUCUACUCCAAGUCUUCUGGAUUGCUUCUGUUCCAAAAAUAACUCUCCCGAAGGUUUAAUUCCGUUUGGACUCUGUUUGAUAUUCCUUUUCUUCGAAACAUUGAAAUAGGCAAGAAAACAGGAAUUUGGGCUAGGCCUCCGGUUAAUAGGUUAUUCCUAAAAAUAAUAUAAAAGUGUAUAAUAAAUCCCAUAAGCAUCCAAAACAGGUAAUAUAAUAGCAUGGAACAAUAAAAAAUUAUAGAUACGUUGGAGACGUAUCAAGCAUCCCCAAGCUUAAGUCCUGCUCGUCCUCGAGUAGGUAAAUGAUAAAAACAGAAUUUUUGAUGUGGAAUGCUACCUAACAUAUUUAUCCAUGUAAUUCUCUUUAAUGUGGCAAGAAUAUUCAGAUCCGAAAGAUUCAAGACAAAAGUUUAAUAUUGACAUAAAAAUAAUAAUACUUCAAGUAUACUAACUAAGCAAUCAUGUCUUCUCAAAAUAACAUGGCCAAAGAAAGUUAUCCCUACAAAAUCAUAUAGUCUGGCUAUGCUUUAUCUUCACCACACAAAAUAUUAAAUCAGGCACAACCCGAUGACAAGCCAAGCAAUUGUUUCAUACUUUUGAUGUUCUCAAACCUUUUCAAUCUUCACGCAAUAUAUGAGCGUGAGCCAUGGAUAUAGCACUAUGGUGGAAUAGAAUGGUGAUUGUGGAGAAGACAAAAAAGGAGAAGAUAGUCUCACAUCAACUAGGUGUAUCAACGGGCUAUGGAGAUGCCCGUUAAUAUAUAUCAAUGUGACUGAGUAGGGAUUGGCAUGCAACAGAUACACUAGAGCUAUAAGUAUAUGAAAGCUCAACGAAAUAAACUAAGUGGGUGUGCAUCCAACUCGCUUGCUCAUGAAGACCUAGGGCAUUUUGAGGAAGCCCAUCAUUGGAAUAUACAAGCCAAGUUCUAUAAUAAAAAAUUCCCACUAUUAUAUGAAAGUGAUAUCAUAGGAGACUCUCUAUCAUGAAGAUCAUGGUGCUACUUUGAAGCACAAGUGUGGAAAAGGAUAGUAGCAUUGUCCCUUCUCUCUUUUUCUCUCAUUUUUGGGGCCUUCUCCUUUUUUUGGCCUUUAUUUUUUUCGUCCGGAGUCUCAUCCCGACUUGUGGGGGAGUCAUAGUCUCCAUCAUCCUUUCCUCACUUGGGACAAUGCUCUAAUAAUGAUGAUCAUCACACUUUAUUUACUUACAACUCAAGAAUUACAACUCGAUACUUAGAACAAAAUAUGACUCUAUGUGAAUGCCUCCGGCGGUGUACCGGGAUGUGCAAUGAUGCAUGAGUGACAAAUACGAUGUCAACUACAUGAUCACGCAAGCAAUAUGACAAUGAUGAAGCGUGUCAUAAUAACGGAAUGGUGGAAAGUUGCAUGGCAAUAUAUCUCGGAAUGGCUAUGGAAAUGCCAUAAUAGGUAGGUAUGGUGGUUGUUUUGAGGAAGGUAUAUGGUGGGUGUAUGAUACCGGCGAAAAGUGCACGGUAUUAGAGAGGCUAGCAAUGGUGGAAGGAUAAGAGUGCAUAUAAUCCAUGGACUCGACAUUAGUCAUAAAGAACUCAUAUACUUGUUGCAAAAAUCUAAAAUUUAUCAAAGCAAAGUAUUACGUGCAUGCUCCUAGGGGGAUAGAUUGGUAGGAAAAGACCAUUGCUCGUCCCCGACCGCCACUCAUAAGUAAGACAAUCAAUAAAUAAAUCGUGCUCUGACUUCAUCACAUAACAGUUCACCAUAUGUGCAUGUUAUGGGAAUCACAAACUUUAACACAAGUACUUCUCAAAUUCAUAACCACUCAACUAGCAUGACUCUAAUAUCACCAUCUUCAUAUCUCAAAACAAUUAUCAAGCAUCAAACUUCUCAUAGUAUUCAAUGCACUUAUAUGAAAGUUUUUAUUAUGCCUAAAAGCAAAUUACCAUGCUGUUAUAAAGACUCUCAAAAUGAUAUAAGUGAAGCAUGAGGGUCCAUCUAUUUCUUCAAAAUAAAACCACCGCCAUGCUCUAAAAAGAUAUAAGUGAAGCGCUAGAGCAAAACACAAACCACUCCAAAAGAUAUAAGUGAAGAUGAAUGAGUAGUCGAAUAAUUAUGCAACUAUGUGAAGAAUAUCUAACAUUUAAGAAUUUCAGAUCUUGGUAUUUUAUUCAAACAUCAAGCAAAACAAAAUAAAAUGACGCUCCAAGCAAAACACAUAUCAUGUGGUGAAUAAAAAUAUAGCUCCAAGUAAAGUUACCGAUGAACGAAGACGAAAGAGGGGAUGCCUUCCAGGGCAUCCCCAAGCUUAGGUUCUUGGUUGUCCUUGAAUAUUACCUUGUGUUGCCUUGGGAAUCCCCAAGCUUGGGCUCUUUCCACUCCUUAUUCCAUAGUCCAUCGAAUCUUUACCCAAAACUUGAAAACUUCACAACACAAAACUUAACAGAAAACUCGUAAGCUCCGUUAAUAUAAGAAAAUAAAUCACCACUUAGGAAAUGUUGUGAACUCAUUAUAAAUUCAUAUUGGUGUAAUAUCUACUGUAUUAAAACUCAUAUAUGGUUCAUACCCUCUGAUGCUACUCAUAGAUUCAUCUAAAUAAGCAAACAACACAUGGAAAACAGAAUCUGUCAAAAACAGAACAGUCUGUAGUAAUAUGGAUCAAACGUAUACUUAUGGAACCCCAAAAAUUCUAAAAUAAAUUUUUGGACGUGAGGAAUUUAUCUAUUAAUCAUCUUCAAAAAUAAUUAACUAAAUAGAACUCUCCAAUAAAAAAUGGCAGCAAAUCUCGUGAGCGCUAAAGUUUCUGUUUUUUUACAGCAUGAUUGCAAAGACUUUCCCCAAGUCUUCCCAAAAGUUCUACUUGGCACAAACACUAAUUAAAAGCAUAAAAACUCAAUCAUAACAUAGGCUAUAUAAAUUAUUUAUCACUAAACAUGAACAAAAAGCAAGGAACAAAAAUAAAAUUGGGUUACCUCCCAACAAGCGCUAACGUUUAAUGCCCUUAGCUAGGCAUGAUGAUUUCAAUGAUGGUCACAUAAAAGGUAAGAAUUGAAACAUAAAGAGAGCAUCAUGAAGAAUAUGACUAGCACAUUUAAGUCUAACCCACUUCCUAUGCAUAGGGAUUUUGUGAGCAAACAACUUAUGGGAACAAUAAUUAACUUGCAUAGGAAGGUAAAACAAGGAUAACUUCAAGAUUUUAAGCACACAGAGAGGAAACUUGAUAUUAUUGCAAUAUGUAGAAGCAUAUGUUCCUCUCUCAUAAUAAUUUUCAGUAGCAUCAUGAAUAAAUUCAACAAUAUAACCAUCACAUAUAGCAUUCUUUUCAUUAUCUACAAGCAUAGAAUUUUUACUACUCUCCACGUAAGCAAAAUUCUUCUCAUUCGGAAUAGUGGGAGUAUCAUAAGAAACUCGAAUACUAUAAAUUGUUUCCACAUUAAAAGAGUAAUGUUCAAAAAAAGGGUAAUCAUAAUCAUGACAAGUUUUAUAAAUAUAAUCAUCACUACUUUUUAUAGCAUAAGUGUCAUCACAAUAAUCAUCAUAGGUAGCAACUUUGUUCUCAUCAUAAUCAAUUGAAACCUCUUCCAAGAUAGUGGAAUCAUUACUAAAUAAAUUCAUGACCUCUACAAAUCCAUUUUCAUAAUUAUCACAAUAAGAUUCAACAUCCUCCAAAAUAGUGGGAUUACUACUUCCUAAAGUUGACACUCUUCCAAACCCACUUUCAUCAAUAUAAUCAUCAUAAGUAGGAGGCAUGCUAUCAUCAUAACAAAUUUGCAUAUCAAAACUUGGGAGGCUAGAAAUAUCAUCUUCAUUAAACAUAGCAUCCCCGAGCUUGGGACAAACAUUAAUUGCAGCAAAUAUAUUCUCAAACAUGUCAUUCUCAUCAAACAUAGCAUCCCCAAGCUUGGUCCUUUUCAUAUCAUAAGCAUAAUCACUCUCAUCAUUAAUAGUAUGGAUAGCACCAAUAGUAUAACAAUUAUCAUUAUCACAAUGAGUAAUAGGAGCAACAUCAUUUGGGAGGGAUACAUUUUUACCUUUGCUUCUCCGUAUUUUCUUUUUCUUCUUCACAUCAUGUGUGGGUUCAAUCCUCUUUUCGGAGCUCCUUAUUGAUGAGAUUGGUUGAAUAGAAGGCUCCUCCUUGUUACCUGAUUCAUCAUGAGAAAUAAUAGGAGGAUAUUGGGAAGCCUCUUCCCUUUCAUUAGUAUUCUCUUCAUCCUCUAUUUGUUUUUUUCUUUAUGUAAUUGGCAAUAUAAGGAUUUUCAAUGCAAUUCACCGCACAAUACAUAUAAAUUUCCUCUAGAUCAAAAUUAAGAACUCUAUCAAGGGCAAAUUCUGGAAUAACCUUAGAUAUACGUUUCAUUUCUUCAUAACCCAAGAGCAAACUAAGUUCAUUAUGAUGCGUAAGGGAAAUCAAGUCAUCACAAUUUUUGGAUACAAUACGAUCAUGAAACCAUUUGCAUUGGGUACUGAAAUGAUCACGUUCAUUACAAAGUUCACAAGUAUGGCUAAGAAAGUUUAAAUUUUCAGCACAAACAUCUAGGCUUUCUUGCAACCAUUUAGUUUCCAAAUACUUAUGCCUCUUGCAAAAUCUAUCUUUCCUGUUUGGUAUGUACUUGCAAACUCUAUGCACUCCACAAAAAUCGAUAUGCUUAUAAGAGAUAUUUUCAUCAUGACUAGUCCAAUCAUCAUUAGUACUAUGGAUAUUCAAAGAGUUCAUACUAAUAACAUUGCAAUCAUGAUCAUCAUUCAAAGAUUUAGUGCCAAAUAUUUUAUAGACUUCUUCUUCUAGCACUUGAGCACAAUUUUCCUUUCCAUCAUUCUCACAAAAUAUAUUAAAAAGAUGAAGCAUGUGAGGCAAACUCAAUUCCAUUUUUUGUAGUUUUAUUUUAUAAACUAAACUAGUGCUAAAACAAGAAACAAAAAGAUUCGAUUGCAAGAUCUAAAGAUAUACCUUCAAGCGCUAACCUCCCCGGCAACGGCGCCAGAAAAGAGCUUGAUGUCUACUACACAACCUUCUUCUUGUAGACGUUGUUGGGCCUCUAAGUGCAGAGGUUUGUAAGACAGUAGCAAAUUUCCCUCAAGUGGAUGAUCUAAGGUCUAUCAAUCUGUGGGAGGCGUAGGAUGAAGAUGGUCUCUCUCAAACAACACUGCAACCAAAUAACAAAAAGUCUCUUCUGUCCCCAACACACCUAAUACAAUGAUUAAUUGUAUAGGUGCACUAGUUCGGCGAAGAGAUGGUGAUACAAGUGCAAUAUGGAUAGUAGAUAUAGGUUUUUGUAAUCUGAAAAUAUAAAAACAGCAAGGUAACUAAUGAUAAAAGUGAGCAAAAACGGUAUUGCAAUGCGUGGAAACAAGGCCUAGGGUUCAUACUUUCACUAGUGCAAGUCCUCUCAACAAUAAUAACAUAAUUGGAUCAUAUAACUAUCCCUCAACAUGCAACAAAGAGUCACUCCAAAGUCACUAAUAGCGAGAACAAACGAAGAGAUUAUGGUAGGGUACAAAACCACCUCAAAGUUAUCCUUUCUGAUCGAUCUAUUCAAGAGUCCGUAGUAAAAUAACAUGAAGCUAUUCUUUCCAUUCAAUCUAUUAUAGAGUUCGUACUAGAAUAACACCUUAAGACACAAAUCAACCAAAACCCUAAUGUCACCUAGAUACUCCAAUGUCACCUCAAGUAUCCAUGGGUAUGAUUAUACGAUAUGCAUCACACAAUCUCAGAUUCAUCUAUUCAACCAACACAAAGAACUUCAAAGAGUGCCCCAAAGUUUCUACCGAAGAGUCAAGACAAAAACCUGUGCCAACCCCUAUGCAUAAGUUCACGAGGUCACGGAACUCGCAAGUUAAUCACCAAAACAUACAUCAAGUGGAUCACAUGAUAUCCCAUUGUCACCACAGAUAAGCACGUGCAAGACAUACAUCAAGUGUUCUCAAAUCCUUAAAGACUCAAUCCGAUAAGAUAACUUCAAAGGGAAAACUCCAUUCAUCACAAGAGAGUAGAGGGGGAGAAACAUCAUAAGAUCCAACUAUAAUAGCAAAGCUCGCGAUACAUCAAGAUCGUACUACCUCAAGAACACGAGAGAGAGAGAGAGAGAGAGAGAGAGAGAGAGAUCAAACACAUAGCUACCGGUACAUACCCUCAGCCCCGAGGAUGGACUACUCCCUCCUCGUCAUGGAGAGCACGGGAUGAUGAAGAUGACCACCGGAGAGGGAUUCUCCCCUCCGGGAGGGUGCCGGAACGGGUCUAGAUUGGUUUUCGGUGGCUACGGAGGCUUCUGGCGGCGAAACUCCCAACAUAUUCUGUUCCCCGAUGUUUCUAGGGUAUAUUGAUAUAUAUAGGCGAAAGAAGUCGGUCAGGGGAGCCAUGAGGGGCCCACGAGGGUCGGGGCGCGCCCAGGGGGUAGGGCGCGCCUCCCUGCCUCGUGGCCACCUCGAAGCUUCCCUGACGUCUACUCCAAGUCUUCUGGAUUGUUUCCGUUCCAGAAAUAACUCUCCCGAAGGUUUAAUUCCGUUUGGACUCCGUUUGAUAUUCCUUUUCUUCGAAACACUGAAAUAGGCAAGAAAACAAGAAUUUGGGCUGGGCCUCCGGUUAAUAGGUUAGUCCCAAAAAUAAUAUAAAAGUGUAUAAUAAAGCUCAUAAACAUCCAAAACAGGUAAUAUAAUAGCGUGGAACAAUCAAAAAUUAUAGAUACGUUGGAGACGUAUCAAUAGACACAAUGAACUUCAGAAAGACUUGAUGGGGUGUACUGGAAAUGGCAUAGCGAAAGAAUUGCCUAGUUUCAUUAUUUAUUUGUCUUAUUGUGCAAGAACUUUGUUGUAUUUCUGUUGCAUUUGAUGUUGUUGAUUUGAUGAAUUAUGUAAUAAUUUGAUAUUGUGGACAGGUGAAAAUUUUAAGUUUUAAUUCAGGAUAUUUUUAUUUCAAAUUGUGCGGUUGUACAGUGGUCGUACACAGCCGCGCGGCUAUCAGCCAGUUUUACAUCUUCACAUUGGCAUCAUCUAUUGGAGUUGGACUACUACAUCACCAAUAUACAUCAUCUGUUGGAGUUGGGUAAUUUUUGGAGAUGUGAAAAGCACUUUUUAGUGAUGUAAAUUAUAUAACACCUAGUUUUACAUCUCCAAAUUUGCAUCAUCUAUUGGAGAUGCUCUUAGGGCAUUUCCAAUGAAUGCCUAUCAAAAUGGAUACCUUAAAUGUUUACAGACAUGUCAAAAUGUUGUUCGUGCACAUUUACUGAUGCCAAUUGACAUACUGCAAACCUCAGUUAUGCUAUUUUGCUAUGUGUGUUUUAAACUAUUCAUUAUCGAUGGAGUCUCCUCCGAUAUAUCAGGUUGUGGUGUCCCUGGAUCUCGAAGAUGGACGAGGUUCUUUCUUUUGGGAGGACAAAUGAGUUAAUUGAUUGAGGAUUCAACAGAUUGCGCCAAAAUGGUAUGAUCGUGUCCUGUUGGAUUUCGGGUUCCGGCAAAACCCUUGAGGUUCGAACACUGGGGUGCGCACGAAGAUCUCUUCUCCCUCUAGCUCACGCCCUCACCGCAAUCUCGAGGCUCAACGCAUCAAACUUGCGGAACAAAGGGACACAAGAUUUAUACUGGUUCGGGCCACUGAUAUGGUGUAAUACCCUACUCCAGUGUGGUGUGGUGGAUUGUCUCUUGGGCUGAGGAUGAACAGUUACAAGGGAUGAACAGCCUCCUGAGGAGAGUUCUUGUGAUUGGUGAGGUUUUCUGGUGACCUUGGUGGAAUGGAUCCGGUCCAAGAUGAGAUGCCUCCCUACGGUGGUGGCUAGUCCUAUAUAUAGAGGCACGGGUCCUCUUCCCAAAUAUUAAGCGGGAAGGGAUCCCACAACGGCCAAUGUGAAGGGGGACGGCUAGUACAAGCUAUCCUGACAAAAGGUGGUCUUCUCCUGCCAAGGCUCUGGUGGUGACGCCGUCCUGGGCUCCACGGUGACCUCCAUCCUGCCGUCCUACUGGUCUUGGUCUCGUUGAACCGAUAUGGAAACCUUUGUCUGCUACCUCGGGACUCCUCGCCUGUGCUUGCCUCUUUAGCAGCAAAGAGGAAACAAGUACACUGUGCGCGCUGGCGCCCGCCUGGUGCCCGCCUGGCCUUGGUCGUCAUGGCUUGCGUCAUAUAUAGGAACCUCGCGAGGUGCCCCUUGCCUUGAUUUCUCUGCCCCUCGUGAGCCAGCCUGGUGAGGCCGCCCCCGAGGAGGUCUUGCGUCGUCUACCUCGCGAGGCUCGGCCCCUCGCGAGGGUCUUGAGUGUUUGCUGGUGAAUAUGGGCUAUACGGGGCCGCUGAGGAGCCACGCCGUGGGCCACAAGCAGGAAAGUCUCGGGACCCCCGUUCCCAGGACGCCGACAGUAGCCCCCGGGCCCAAGGCGCGCUCGGACUUGGCUUCGAGGUGAAGCCAAAGGGCAAGUGCGGAGCGCCGCGGGCCCCAACAGCCUGCGGCCUCGGUUGACGCAUGGCGAUUGAUGGGAUGUUGGCGGCCCCAUUUCCCCACGCAGCCUUGAUAUCCGCCUAGCUUGGCGGCCACCAUGACUUACACAGUUAUUCCCUCGCUGCUGGCGACACGCUUCUCCAAUUCUUCUGCCUUCCAAAACAACAAACUCCUCUCCCAACUUAACCUGAGCUUGGCCCUCCCCAUUGUCAUGGCGCCGAGCCGAAUGGGGAAGGGGAAGAAGAAGUCCCAGUCUUUAGCCGAGCCACCUCCGAGCAUUGAACCCGCCGUUGGUCAGUCGUUGGUGCUCAACGAGGAAGCCAUGGACAGGUCCGCCCAGCGCUCGCCACCGGCUUCAACGAAUGGGGGAAGACGGUGGCCUGGCCAGCAUCCCGCGCCUCUGUUGAUAGGACAGCAACCGAGGUCCAAUUCUCCAUUGAAGCCCUGUGGGCUGGCCUGGUUCCUCCCUUUUCCACCUUCUUCAACGCCAUGCUUUCCCACUAUCAGAUCCAUAUGCUGCACCUAGAUCCCCAAUCUGUUUCCCUUCUUGCCAUUUUCGCCUUCGUCUGCGAGGCCAUGGUGGGCAUUGCUCCUUCCGUGGCCCUACUGCGCCAUUUCUUCUCGCUGCACCUGACCGAUCCUCAACAAUGCUCGGGAUGCCUAAGCUUCCAGGCCGUGGCUGCGACAACAGGCUCGGGGAUUGACUUUGAGCUCCCACCAUCUAUGAGCGGGUUUCAGACACGAUGGGUGUUCGUGGAUGUCAGUGUGCUCAGCCCCCUGCUUUCGCCCCCUUUGGUGCCCGCCAUUCCUAGCUCCGGCUGGGGCCACGAGAAGCUCGCGGACCCCCGCCUUGCCUUCGUCUGGCUCCGGUUGAAGAGGCUGAAAGAUCUCGGCGUGACUGCGCCCAUGGUGAUGAAGGAGUCCCUCCGACGCCACGUCGCCCCACUCCAGUGCCAUUCCCGGCUGAUGUGGGCCUUGUCUGACGGCCAGGAUCGCAUGAGGCUUCGGGAGUCGUGGCUUCCGCUCGAGGCGCGAAGAAUGGUGCUCGAGGUCCUGACGGGCGACCCCUCGCCAGCCGAUAUGCCGCAGGAGGGUUGUCUUUUGUACUGCUACUCGAAAAGGGUGAAGUUCACGGGGCAGAUGCCCCCUUCGAUGAAUGGGGGCUGCGUCCAGUCGGCCUUGAAGGGCCCCGCGAGAACCCUGUCUCCGUGGUUCCCCUCCUUGCCGCCAGCGCCAAACUUACCCCAAGAGUGGAUGCAGGGGGAGAGCACCGCUAGAGGCCGGAGGCGCGGGUGCUGAGGCGUCGGCACCGCUCGAGGCUCCUGAGGUGCCACCCCCGGGAUCCCGCGACUCUUGCCCUGGGGUGACAGCUGAGGGGGCGACGCAAUCCGCUGCUCCUGAGGCCGAAGCUUCCGAGGUCUCAGCAGGUCAUCAUGAGGCGGAGCCAGUGGUCUCCCCUCAGCCCAGCACUCCCGAGGUCGUCUCCUCAGGUGCCCCACCAACCGCGCCCUGCGCUGGUGGCUGCGUCCAAGGCUUCGGCAAGCUCUGUCUGGACUUUGAUGCGCUCCGCAAGAGGAAAGAGUCUCCAAGCUGCAGCAGUGAUGCCUUCCGGCCGUUGAAGCAGAGGAAGUAUAUCGCCAUAGACGAGUGAGUACCUUAUCUUUGUAAUUUCUCGAGUGCUGCUUCUCCUCCUGACUGUGGCUCCUCAGGGUCCCUUCUGCUAAGGCGGCGAAGUCUCCCGGGAAGCAACCAUCUCCUGCCUCAAAUUCCCCGUUGGCCUUGAGCGCCCCAAGCCAGCAUGCCGCACCCGGCGCGAGGUUGGCCGGAGAGGCAAACACGCUAGCCUGACGCCUUGAGCCCGCGCCUUUGCCGUCUCUCCUUCGUGGCCUCGCCUGGGGUGCGGCAAGUGUGCCAAGGGCUUCUCCUCUGGUUGUGGACGGCGGCGGGGUGACCUCAAUCAUGGCUUCUUCUUCAAGCAACGGGCCUCAAGCCACGCGAUCCCCUGCUGAAGCCCAGUCGGCGGCCCGGGAGGCGCCAGCCCCCAGCCCCCCUGCCGAAAGGGGGUGAGCCGCUUCGAAUCCCAUCAACUACCCCCGCUGCAGGGGACGAACCCGGUUGCGCGCUUAAGUUUGCGCACGAGCGGAGUGUCAUCCGCCACGAGCUCUUUCAGGAGGCAAUGGGCGCGAUGAGCUGGCUCGGCGGAGAACUCGGGGACGUCGACGCUCGCCUUGAAGCCGAAGGCCUCCGGCUGGUGGAGUGGCAUCAACUAAAGGUGGCUAUCAACCUCGGGCGCCUCCAGCGCGAGCACGCCAAUGCGAAGGCCGAGGCAUCCCUAGCAACCUCGCGAGAGGCCAGCGCCCGGGCCUUGGAGGAGGCCAGGGAGGCGGACAAUCACCACGCGGUCGCCGAGGAGCGCAGGCAGGAGCUCCAGGCCUUGAACGCCUCCCUGGAGCAGCAGGUGGAGGCGCACAGAGUUGCCCUGGCGUCGAUGAAGCGUGCUCUGUCCGACGAGGAGGAGAUCUUGAGGCGUGAGGAAGCACUAUUGCUGGAGGCCACGAAGCGCAGCCUUGAGCUUGAGCAGUUGGAGACGAGGGAGCGCCAAGUCGCCCAAGCAGAGGAUGUUGUCGGCGCACGUGAGGCCAGGUCCCAUGAGGAGGUCGACCGCAGGGUGGCCGAGGCUCGCGCGGAUCUUGCUGGCAGGUACGACCUGAAGCUAAAGCUCGUGGAAGCUGAAGGUGUGGGCAGGACCGCUGCCCUAAGGUCAGGGCUGGCUGAGGUGGAACAGCGCGAGAAAGCCGUCGCAGCCGCCCUGAUCUCGGUGCAGGCCGAGCUGGCCUCCGCCCGUGACGAGCUGCUCUCUCUUCAGCAGCGGGUUGCCAGCGCCGAGUCCUUUGCGCAGCAAAGCAGGGAGGAGGCACUUCGCCGGCAGAUGCUACUGCGCGAGCACACUCCCAUACUUGGGACCUCGGGACGAAGGCCAACCAGGCGCUUGGUGUCAUCUGCGAUGAGCAUGCUCCUCAUCCCCACGCCGAGGAUUACGCCAGCCAUCUUCGCUUCUUCACUAAUGUUGUUACGUGCCUGGAGAGCCGUGCUGAGAGGGCUCCCGAGCUUGUGGACGAAAAGAGCCAAGGCCUUCUCGGGCGCGCAUUCUCCCUCGUCUUCAGCCAUCUCCUGAACACCAAUCCUGACUUUAAUUUUGCCGCCGCCAUUGCCCUAGUGCCCGCGGUCAUUCGGGGCAACCUCGCGCACUGGGUGGACGACAAUGUGGACGCUCUGGUUAGGGCCUUUGCUUCUGAUGAUGACGCUGUUGCUGUGGUGGUCGUCGCGGAUGAGGGAGACGUGGUUGAUGGCGGCGAAGCUGAUGGCAGUGUGGCUGAUGGCAGUGAAGAUAGCGACAGCGAUGGCACUAGCAGCCUGUCCGGAAGCUAUUCGGGGGACGAGGCGAGCGAUAUGUCCGGUUGAGCCCUCGCUCCUUUUUUUUGAACCUGCACGCAAAAGCUUGGGUACGGCCCCUCACGAUGUAAGAGCAUUUUAGAGAGGGGAAGCCCUUCAUGUAAAUAGACUACCACUUCAUUCCUUAGGCUAGGCUUAAAGCGUGCUUUUGGGUGCUCGCGACUCCCCUUGCGGGCUUAAUGCCGUAACUUACUUUGGUUUAGCCGGGCUUCAAACUGGUUUGGCGGUUGUGGACGUGCAUUCCUUCUGAGAGGAGCCCCUCACGAGCUCACGAGGUUUUGGUUUCCUGAGAGGUCCGCCGGUCCACCCGAGAGGGUCUCGCGAGAAGCGAGCGCCAGUAACGGCAAGGUGUACGCGCAUCGCGCGCACGCUGCUGCCAGCCCCCGCUCGCGAGGACUUUGCGCCUUUUACAAUCAUUAGCAGCAUUCUAAGAUAAUAAAGUUCACCAACAGAAGGAUGCACAUAAUAAAUCCUACCAAUUCUUUUGCCAAGUUUUCUUUUCAUCCAUACCUUACUCUGUGCAUUCCAAGACCAUUUUGUGGGAAAAUCACAUUAUGUUAAAGACCUGGCACUUUUGUAUCUAGCAUUAGCAACAAACCAUUCUGUUAACAUGGUUUUGUGCAGCAAAGAAUUGUUAACAAUGGCCUUAAGGUUGGCCCUUGCACGAAAUCGCACAAUAUGUUUAUUUGGUAAAUGAACAACAAGUCUUUCUACAGAAGGUUCUUUACUGUGUAUGUCAUACCCAUAACACCUCCAAAAUGAAUCAUGGGCACAUACGUAUCGACACGCUCUAUACUCUUCAAUUUCAUCCACCCCAUUAUCAUUUGGAUCCUCAGAAUUUUUUAUCCUAUCAAACAGAGUUUUUGACAUGUCAGGGCCCUUGGUAACAUACUUAUACAGAUAUUUUAAGACAUGUGUUUUGUUACACCACUCAACAUUUAAAUGAGCUUGAUAUUUCUUUAGCAUUGCCAUGUUAUAAGGCACAACGUGCCCAUUAUCAAGCCUAGUCUUGUUUUUCAUGAUAAAACGGCCAUUAUUUGGACGCCUGUAGACAGGAAAGCCUACUUCAUCAAUCGAUGUUUCUUCCACAUGGCCCAUGCAUCAUGAACUCAGCAACGAGGGCAUAUCCAAGAGGAUCUGCCACGGGAUCAGGAAUUUGUGCACACACAAACGAAUCAAUCAAAGAAGGGCUAACCUCACCCCGCUUCUCUUUGUCUUGCCAAGUAUAUGCGCGUGUGGUAAGCCCCUUUUUUGAAAUUCCACAGUGUGCAAAACUGGGAGAAGGUAGUCAAGUUAAACCCAAAAAAAAUCUCCACAGAGAAAGUAAGCAACAGGUUGCAUUACUUGCGACCACUUUGCCGAAGGUACUCAUUAAGUUUCAUGUGAUACACCCUAACAGUAAUAUCAGCCCUAUUAUGUGGUCUCUGGCCAGGUUCAACAGAAAGAGCUUCCGUUAUCUCAGGCCACUUAGGAUUACAUGCGAAAGUAGUAAAAAGCUCAGGACAACCAUGCACACGGGCGAUAGCCACCGCAUCCUGAAAAUUUUCGAUCAUAUAACGGCGUCCACCAGUAAAAGAAGAGGGCAAUAUUUUUUUUACCAACUGAACUUCCAUCUAUGCGGCCCGCUCCAACCGCAUCUACAAGCCCUUGUAAAUUCUCAGCUCUCAGAUCAUCGUUGCAUAGCAAAAUAAAAUGUAGCCUAGACUCAUCUGUGCAUACACGAGAAUCUACAACUGCCUGAUCAGACAACAGACCACAAGACAAACAAGGGUUAUGCUGGCCUUCUUUAUAGUGUGAACAAAAACAAUAAAAAUCCUGCAUGGUCAUUUUCUCUCUUUUGUUGGAACCUUCGUGAUCUACCGCUAUGUAUUUCACACCAAGCUGAAAUCCACGCUCACCGAACGGAAAGAGUAGAGGGUAUUGUAAAGCCAUAUAAGCAGGAUGUAAAGACGAAAUUUGCUGCAAAUGUGUUCCCCUACCAUGUAUUAUUAUAUCACGGCUAGGAGUUUCCAUUGUUAAUUCAUCAACAACUAAGCAUGCAAGCUCAUCCGUGGAAGGAAGAUUAAACUGAGGGCCAUCAUCUUUGCCAGGAGCAACUAUACGAAUAGAAAUUUCAGCAAAUUCAUCUCAGCCAAGAUCUCCUCAGCGAUGCGGAAUUUUUUUACAAGAGAAUUGUGCUCAUCAAGCAUGAGCUUCAGACCAUUAACAAUAUCCUUAUCUAACCCACCCAGAAUUCUAUCUUCCUUGUUUAAAGCCUGAAUUCGAUUAUCAAUCUCAUUUCCACCAUGAAACACAUACAGCUCUGCAAAUUUUGGAGCAUUCCCUUCCUGUGGCAAAAGAGAUCCCAUCUGAUGACAUAUACCGCCGGCGAUUUUAAAAAUGUUUGGACCACCACCAUUAUUUACUGAACGAUCUAUUUUCACCCCCAUGGAAGUAAAAGCAAACAAACAGUUAUAUCGUCGUAUUUUUUCAAUGAAUUCCUUGCUCUGUGGGGGUCCAUCAAAUUUUAGAAGGUCAACAAGAAAUGGAGGCGGUUUUUUGAAAGGCUCAACAAAGACUUUCCCACCCUUGCAGCAGAGGUUGUAGACAACCCGCCUUUUGCUUACUGCAGAUUCAGACUUUGCCCUCUCCUGAUACCAGAAGCUCGACUUACAACGGGAAUACUUAUAUGCUGGGCCUCCAUAGAAAGACCUGCCUACAUAACCAGCUAUGGAACAAGUAUGUCCUUAGAUCAAAUCAUACGACUAUAGACUCUGGUAAGACAGAGGCAGCGCAAACAAGAUAUCGCAUGUAUUACCUUUAAAGAUAGCAACCUCCUCAUCGGUGAAACCAACCUACAAAGGAUCUAAGGGAGAAGUAAACGGUUCAUAUGUACGAAAUACAGCAAUCCAAAAGCUCACACGGCGUCAUAAACAUAAGACAAGUCUAAGGAAGUAAAGAGUAAAGGAACUAAAUAAGCACCUGGCACACGACCACCAAACCAUCUAUCGUGUAUGAGCUUGCGUUUCUUUCGAUUCACAGCAGUAACCUCAGAGGUAAGAACAGGGAAGAAACCAUCGUCUAUAGUAAUAACACGAAAACAAAGGCAUUAAUAAGGUAACAUAAAAAGGGCCUACCGAGAAGUGACAAGAAGGGUCAUACAUUUUCUCUUGGGAAGGCCUGAAGCAAUAUAUCCAACAAACGCCGAUGAGAUAAGAUUUUUACGACGAGAGGGACGAGGAAGAGACACAAGAGGCACCCCAGCAGCCACCCUACGGGGGCGACGGACAACAGGAGGGCUAUCCGUAGGAUUCUUACGACGAGAGGCACAAGGAAGAGGCACAAGAGCCACCCCAGCAGCGGCCCUGCGGCGGCGAGAAACAACAGGAGGGCUAUCCAUAGCGUAUACGGUAGAACAUAGGCGUGAGGGAGGUCAUAGCAAAAUCACUGGACUACAAAUCCUACAUCAUAGCACAAACAUCACUGGAAUGUCAAGAAAGCACCCAAACAAACUAGAGAAAUCUAAAGAUGGACAUGCCGGAGCAUAAAACAUUGACUAAAGCAAGGAACUACCAUACUCAACGCAGCAGCACUAAAACCUUUUAAAAUCCUGAAAGUAAGAAACAAAUCUAAAAGAACAGAACCCAAAUAAAAGGGAUAAAAUAAUAUAAAGAGGGCACUGGAAAUGCUUUACCACCAACCACUUUCAUCCCUGUACACGAAAGGGAAGAAAUAACCAACGAAGGAAACCCGAACUAAAAAGGUAUCAAAACACCCUCAAAUGGAUCCAACAAGAAGCUAAGCAUCUAACAGCAAAACAAAAGAAAUGGGACAAACCAAAACACUACAAAAACAAGGUUGAGAUAGCAAGAGCCAAGGCCUAUUCAGUCUGCUUUCCACAAGCCCAAAGAGAAACAAAACUAACAGCCCACCUACACUAAUAGCCCACCUAAAAUCCUGGCAGGAAUCAAAGUGUGUUCACUUUGUCUGCUGCAAGCCCAAAAAGAAGCAAAGACAAGAGCCUACCGAAAACUUUUUUACACAGAGAAGCGACGCAGGGAGCAAGAGAAUACUUGGUACAGAGAACAGCACACCCGACUACGCAAUAAUCUCACUAUAAACCACAUCUCGUUAUACAAAGCUCUCAAACAGUAAGCAGCCUAGUUUCAGUACAAGAAUCAAUUACAAAAUCUACACAUUACGCAUGGAUGCCAUAAGCUGAGAGCACGAUAAAUUCCAAUCUAACGUUCCCCGCUCAACAGGAGGCGAGGUAAAUAACCCUGGCCCUACAGAAACCUCUCUCUCCAAUCUCCCGGCGUGCCGAGCAGCAUGCACAGCGACAAGAACAGCAGAACGCAUGGAUUCCCUAUACGCCAUCAUGCAUUCAUAGUUGUAGUCUCAAUUGAUGGCCUGCACAGCAGCGUGAUCGUAAGCGCCAACGCAGCCACGCCAGGCUGUGCUCCAAAAGAACUGCCUCCGUGACACCGCGCCGACGCCUUCCAAAGGAAGCUCAAGCUCUACCCCAGCCAAAACAGAGCCGUCCUCAGUCACCUCAUACAAGUAAAACAAGGCCGGCAAAGCACAACGAGCUGCAAGAGUCUCUAAAACAGGAACGACGAAGUAAACAACAGCACACAUCCUGGAGAGCAUCGCAACAAAAUGAUAAGAAAAAAAAAACACAACCACAACCCACGGAGAUAAUCCGCAGGAACAAAACAAGUGUAAAUAAACAUAGACACAUAUCACACAUAUAUGCAAUACAUAUAUUCUACAGGGAAGAAACAAACCUUGAUAGGAGCACUAAGCACAGUACAGGGCAGGAUCGAGCCAAGAUGAUAUUCUGGACCUGGUAGACCUGUUUGCAGACAAGGCCAAAAGACAACCAAAAAGAAUAUCAGGUCAACAAUCAGGUAAACGUCAUACAAAAUCUGCGAAGGAGAUUUCUGAAGAAGAAAAGAACAACGUCUAAACCCAUAAAGCAGUAGAAACAAAAUAAUACAGAAAGUAAGAACCUCAGCCAUACACAUGAGCGACGGCGAAGGUCAUCGUGAAAGCAAGCAGAUCGGGGCGGAAGAAGGCGAUGCGAGCAGAACACGCGGGAACAGUGGGUCGAAAAGGGGAAAGUGAACGGGAGAGAGAGGAAAGAAGCCGGGUCGAGAGGAGUUAAUUGCAGAGAACUACCACACUUCGGCACGUAAUCAGUACCAUUAGUCAUUUUUUUGGUCAUGCAGUACCAACUCUAAGCCUAAGUGUUGUAAAACGAUCUGACAGCCGUAUAAGUGCGUAUUGACCACGUAUCUGACCGCUUGGACCCGUGUGUCAGGGAUUGACGUGGCAUGCUCUUUUACAAAAACAACCCUUACUUUUUAUUUAAUCACACAUAUAUCUUCUAUUUUUUCAAAAAAAGGUCUUGCCACAAGAACCCUUUUUUCAAAAAUAACGCCACGCGCUCGCAUGGAUUCGAACCCGCAACGUGCCGUUAGAAGAGAACGCUCGCUGCCGCUGCACCUAGAAAGUAAUUACAAAUAUACAGAAAAGAAAUAACAAUAUCCAAUGUAAAAAAGAGCACUACUUCUUCCUUUCUAGGUGAAUAAGGCACCCGAUACUGUCAUCAGUUUAGACGACUUGCAUGAAGGCUAAUAUUUUUCUAUUUACAAGAACCUACUUGAAAAAAGGCACACACAAAGAUCUAUAAAAAGAAGUCUGCUAACAGAAAGGAACACCAAAAGGUACCAUAGAAGACCUAAAAGGCGUAAGAGCGCGAGAGACAAACCUCUGCUAAGAAUGAGCAGCAGCAGCAGACGGUCGAUGAACGGCGGAAGAAGGACGCACAGUUGAGCACCAGCAGACCACGUUCAGUAAAACCUGAGAGCACCGGCGAGUUAGGAAUUUCAUCAAACAUGUAAGCCGCAAGGCAAGAAAUGCAAGCAGAGGAAACGAAAAUACACCGGAAGAAAAAGCAAAGAGGGGCACCUACUCAAGAAUCAUUACCACGUCAAGAAAACACAGGACAACCUAGAUCUGCAGGAAAGGAAAAAAGGAAGGUUUAGAACGGAGGAGAUCGAACCAUGGACGAACCGAACAACAAGGUGGACGAUCUAACCUCAGCCAUACGCAUGAUCGACGGCGAAGGUCAUCGUGAAAGCAAGCAGAUCGGGGCGGAAGAAGGCGAUGCGAGCAGAACACGCGGGAACAGUGGGUCGAAAAGGGGAAAGUGAACGGGAGAGAGAGGAAAGAAGCCGGGUCGAGAGGAGUUAAUUGCAGAGAGCUAC